CUUUCUCUUGUGCAUGCACAUGCCCGCAUCCCUCUCACCCUCCCUCAGCAUUCUCUAGCUCCAUCGCGUAAAUUCGUGUUUUCACUUUAGGUCGUUCACCCACGGUGUGUGUAGGCCCCCAGCUCCUUCUUUACGGCACACAUCGAUCGAUAUGCCUCUCUAGCCAGGUGUGCCUAGCACAAACACAAGCUUCCCCUCUUCUCUUGUCACCGUCCAUGCCUCACUCCCACCACUCUUUUCAUCGUUCUCGUACUCGCACACUCCUCCCCCUUGAUAUAGUAUGCCUCUCGUACCACCUCCUACAUGCAUCACUCUCUCUCUAUCCUUCUGCUCGUGCCUCAUUUGCUUCUAACACACACAUGCAUGUAUACCGAUCGAUCUCCCAACAUAUACCUAGAUCGACUUUAAGUAACCCUCCCCCCAUCGAUCGACGUACCUCACAAGUUAUGUCUCUCCUUUCUCUUACAAAGGGCGAUUGAUCUUCCUAUGUAGUUACGUCUGCUUACCACAACCACAUCGUCCCCCUCAUCAUUCGUGCAUGCCUCCUGACCCGUCUCUCACACGCACGUGCACAGACAACAAGCAGCCAUCUCCUCUCUUAUUGAUAUUGCGGGCGUGCCCACCGUUUGUCUAGCAAGCCUAUCCCACCAUUUGUUAGAAGCAACUCCACUACCACCCCCUCCAACACUCUAGCUCUGUCUCUCUCCCAACCUUAUUCAUCUCCUGCACAUAUGCAUGGAUGCCGAUCGAUCUCCCUUAAUACAUGAGGCAGAUCGAUCUCCUUAAUACAUGAGGUAGGCCUCUCUCCUCCUCCACACAUAUACCAGCCAUUGUACCUCUAUAGUUAAUUGGGCCUCCCUCUUCCCCCACCACACACCGAUAGUCGAGCGCUGCAGGUAGGUAUCCAUGCCACAAAGACAAACUGCACAUGUCCCAUCUCACAUUCCAGUAGGCCAGCCACUCUAUAUAUUUGACGUGGGCACACACAAAUUCGAUGGCACUCUUUAUCGAUCGCGCGCACACACACACACACACACAUCAUCCCUCUCUUCGAUUCUAUAGACACCUCAAGCCGAUGAUAACUCCACUCUCUUCUCAUGGAUCGCCCCCUCUAUAUAUAUGUUAUAUCCAGGACUCUAUUUCACNNNNNNNNNNNNNNNNNNNNNNNNNNNNNNNNNNNNNNNNNNNNNNNNNNNNNNNNNNNNNNNNNNNNNNNNNNNNNNNNNNNNNNNNNNNNNNNNNNNNNNNNNNNNNNNNNNNNNNNNNNNNNNNNNNNNNNNNNNNNNNNNNNNNNNNNNNNNNNNNNNNNNNNNNNNNNNNNNNNNNNNNNNNNNNNNNNNNNNNNNNNNNNNNNNNNNNNNNNNNNNNNNNNNNNNNNNNNNNNNNNNNNNNNNNNNNNNNNNNNNNNNNNNNNNNNNNNNNNNNNNNNNNNNNNNNNNNNNNNNNNNNNNNNNNNNNNNNNNNNNNNNNNNNNNNNNNNNNNNNNNNNNNUCACACAACCCCACGUAGGUGGUGUACGUAUACAAGAAGAGAAUAGGUGCACCGUGCACGUACUCACGCUUCGUGCCCAGCCACACCCGCGCGGGUACACGGUUGAGCUCAUUUCUUUACGAAAUGGCAGCCCACAUGCUAAUUUGAACGCCUGUAGCGGUUGUUUACCUAGGGAGGUCGUGUACCACGCGUGCACGAAACAAAGUUCGACUUGACGCGUUGCUGCGUUAUUUUUAAAUAAAGUUAUAGCGCUCAAUGGCACAUACACAGAAUAUAAAACGAUUUUUAUGGAGGAAAAGGUAGUCCGCUCUUCAUAGUAUCUCACACAAGGCUCCGGUGGCCUCUCUCUCUCUCUCACCGUUGGUCACUGAUCCGGCCGCAUCCCGUCCACCGGGGGAAAGGGAGUGCGGUGGCCUCUCUCUCUCACCGCUGGUCACUGAUCCGGCUGCAUCCCGUCCACCGGGGGAAAGGGAGUGCGGUGGCCUCUCUCUCUCUCACCGUUGGUCACUGAUUCGGUCGCAUCCUGUUCGCCGGGGGAAAGGAAGGAAGUGCAUCGUUUCUCCGUUCGACAUCGCCGAGGCAGCACGUCCCGAUCUGCGGUACACGCCGUUCUCUCUGACCAAGCUUCGGCGCGGCAGGGCCUACGCCACCUACUCGCAGAUUCCGCCCGCUGCCGCUCACCUAGUUACAUCCCGACGACCUCCAGGUAUCCCCUCCGGCCUUGCUCCACUGCCCGUUUUCCCACGUCGCUGCAUGUGGAUCUUCCAUAGUUCUUUGUCCAAAACGUAGCUCGUCCGGUGUACUUUCCAUAUUGCAUUCUCGUCCUCACACCGUUUUAGACAAACACAACCGUGUUGUUAUCUUCCCUUAGGACAAGGAAUAUGCUUCUUUUUUGUCGUCGCAUGUGUCAUCAACUGUUAUUGGCCAGUAAUUGUUUCCUUUCUACCUCUUUUUUGCAAACAGUGCUAUCCAUUUCACCUCGUUGCUAUUGCGACCUUUUGGUGAACUGCACAAAACACUUUUUUCUUAAGAGUGUUUUGUGCAGUUGUACUAAAAUGUCACACGGGCAACGUCUCUACAUUUCAGUGCGACUGCACAAAGGGAGAUUGGUUUUGCUCUAUCCUCCUCAUCCAACUCCGAGCCUAAUCUUCUCCAACUAGUUAGUCUUAAGAGAGACCGCAAAGGUGACCGGCUUCUAUUUGUGUGUUUAUUGUUUCAUUAGCAGUCCUCUAUUAUCGUAAUCACACUUGAUAUCUUUGGAACAGGGAUGCUCAGCUCUAUUUUAGUGGAACUGCACAAAAUGAUCGGAAUGUUGCAUGCUCCAGACAGCUACUUUUUUUCCCAACAUGCCUUGUUGAUUUAGAUAGAGCUGGGGGGACGUUGCUGCCAAUGAAAGCAUGGAUCAAUUUUAAUUUAACACCUUCUCACAACUUUGUCUUCAGUUGUGAUGUAAUUAUUAGCUCUGAUUUGCUAAUAAUUGACAUGCAUUAGCAAGGAAGUUAGUUUUUUAUUGUUUCCGAAAGAGCACCGAUGGCAAGACACGCGAAACAAAAGUUGAAAGCUCACACCAUUGUACAAUUUCAUGUCGCCGGAAAAUUAUUUGUAUAGUACGUCAAUUAUGUAAACAAAUGAUGGAAGCUUGAUAGCAUUGCCAGAAGCCUCUUCAUCAUCCGGGUCCAUGUGCCAUGCACGAAAUUAUACUCCUUCGUUCCUAAAUAUUUGUCUUUUUACAAAUUUCAAACAGGCAUAUUUUAGAGUGUAGAUUCACUCAUUUUGCUUCGUAUGUGUACUCCCUCCAUUCCUAAAUAUUCUAUUCGUCUUAACAGAGAUUUCAACAUAUUUUAGAAAGACAAAUACUCCGGAGUAUAUUUAAGAACCGAGGGGGUAGUGCACAACCGCAUGGGAGACUCAGCCCGGUCGUUGCGCCACAUUAAUAGUGAGUAAUGAGAAGUCAAAUCAUAAGCCCCACCUUUCCCACUGUAAGUUGCUCUGAAGAAGCAACCAUCAAUACGCUCUUCUUUGAAUCUUCUCAUACUACUCCAUCCAUCACUGUUUAUACAGCGCGCUUCAGAAAAAAGAAAAAAAUCUGUGGGACCAAGGCGACUAGCGAUCGGCCUGAAAAAUAGCAUUGGUAGUUAUAGCACGGCGUCUAUUACUAGAGGGAAUAAUGCGUACACACAUGCAUGCAGUGCUUCCACCCCGGGUACACACAUGCAUGCACUCCGUAGUAGUACAGUACAUGGAGAGAAAAUUGUGGACUUGAUUGCGGUUACCACACCCUAAUUAAUUGAGCAUUAAACCAAACACGUCUAAAGUCUCUCUGGUGGUGGAAAUGCAUUGAAAGAAAUGCAUCAUAAUGAAGCGCACCCUGUAAACUGUGACGGAGGGUGGAGUAGUAUGAAGGUGCAAACCAAGUACGCGUACUAGUACUGCGCUUGGCUCUUCGCCCCUUCGUGGAGUCGAACAAUGAUGGUACUCCGCAUGUUGGGUACUACAGUGUAUGCCUCUGACAAUUUGACACCGAAUGGACUGAUGCAUGUCCACCGAGGGUAGGUUGCAUUAGUCAAAAGGCGUAAGCGAGCUUCACCUUGUCCUGCAAGCUUCUCCUCGUUCUGCGAGUUGACGGGACACACCAAAAAGUACUGCUAGUCCAUACUCCCUCCUUUCUGGUUAAUAUGGCUUAAUCUUUUUGCGGGUAAAUGAGAGAGCUUUAUUCAUAUAUAAGCAUUCUUAGGACGAUCGGCCAAGACACUGGUCACUAGGAAGCCAAAAAAAGAAGUAGGAAGCGAGGUGUUUCAUCAAGCCAGCUCUCGGCCACAUUCAAAGUGCAGCAAGCACGGUUUGCACGAAGAUGCGCCGCAAGGUUUGCUGACCUGUUUACAUGCUGAAUAACAAAAAAAGAGGAAAUAUUACUGAGCGUUACUAUUUGUAACAGGAUAUGAGCCAGAAUUAAGCGAGAAUUAUGGCGAGUGUUCCAUGCAAUCAACUUCCAUUAUCACAUGCGAGAACCCUCAAAGAGAACCAAAUAUGUUGAAGAUUGCUUUAUCACAUUUUAAAAUUAUAAUAAGAGUGCACACGCUCCUCCAUCUGGUUCCUAGUAGUAUAGUGUAGUAUGCUUCUGGCAAUCUGACACCGAAUUAACUGUUGCACGUCCACCGCCUAAGCAAGGGAGAGCUUGCAUUAGUCAAAAGUUUCUCUUUGUCCUGUGAGCCACCGCGCGCAAGCUUCUCCCGUCCUGCAACCUUCUCCUCGUUCGGCAAGUUGACGGGACACAACAAAGUAAUGCUAGUCCAUGCUGCCUCCUCUCCGGUUAACAUGGCUUAAUUUCAAACGAGAUAAAUACACUGUCUGUCACUGUAUAUUUGUAAAAAUACGGUCAGUGGACUUCAUAAUACGCUCAUUGCGCUCAAUAUAUAUAUUUUCCGGUGUUCAUAUGGUCACUAGCUCACCCUGAUUGCGUAUGUGUGUGCAUGCACGUGUAGGUUGAGCACUUGAGCGUCACCGUGUGUGUUCCGUCAUGUGCUCGGACAUGCAUGCAUUAGGGUGUCGCGCGCGUUUUUGCGUCCAUGUGUACGUUUGACUGUCGCAUACACGUAGGGGGAGUACGUGUAGGGGCCCCUAAGGAGCAGUCAAAUCACACAGUAAGUUAGUCGGAAGAAGCAACCAUCAUUUCACUCUUGAAUGGCACGUACGCAAGAUAAAAUGGUUGAUAUGGAGAGAAAAAGAAAACCACUAUACUCCAGCAGGGUGCGUGUGAAAGACGGGUCAGGAGGUGAAUGACAUGUGGCCCCAGGGGGUGGCUGGCCCACCUAUUAUACAGCCAAAGGCAGGUGUAGUAGAGGGCCGAGGAGUAGUACGAAAUCCUACGCACCUACGCAGGCUAGCCAAGGGCUGAGUGAUCACUCGAAUCGCAAGAUCAAUUGACUAGAAGCUACGCUAGACCCAUGGAGGCGAUGAGCGCGAGCAUCAGCCGGCUGUGCCAGAUGGUCCACGACGCCGGCCUGCGGCCCGGCGGGUAGUAUUGCUUGAGGCCGCCAGGGCGAGGGGCCGCUUGGACGACAGCUUCGCAUCCUUGUUCGACGAGGUCCUCGUUGGUUUCCUCAACAAGUUCACUGUCGUCAAGAAGCUUGCGGACGACUUUGACGUAAGCCUCCAGCCGAUGCGCCCAAGCUCUGCGAUGCCCGCCACCCUCAACGGCCACUAUGGUAACAACCUCUUCGACGCACUGGUGGCCCUGCGACUGCCCGCCGUCGUGCCGGAGAAUGUCCACCUCGAGGUCGCGCUCGCCGCGCAGCGCCUGGCACAGCAAGACACCAUCGACAUAAUCACCCACGUCUACGCGCAAAUCAUCCACAAGGACUAGUACAUGCAAGAGGAGGACGAUAGGACACUGGCCUUCUUGGAGCGCAGGGCAACCUUGGACGACAUUGUUCAGAAGCACGUUGAGCUCGCCGCCAACGCCGCUGCUCCUCACACGUCGGUUGGUGACCCGGCGCACUAGGGCGUGAGGAUGUCGUUGAACGUUGAUGGAUCCGUAUGUAUUUUUAUCCUUCCGUCAAAUCCAUGUAGUAGUAUAUGAUACUAUAGUAAUUAUCUUACGUUUUGCAUCAACUUCAUAAUUUUCGUACGUACUCCAUGCAUGAACGGCGCCAGAAGCAAACUUCUCAUUACUCUAGGCAAAAUCGUUAUUUUCUAUCUAUCGGUCGCGCCAUGGAGCAGAACCAAAUUUUACAAGUUACGGGUUCAAAAGGAAAAGCCUGCCGUGUUCGCGUCGCACCCCCACACGGUUGGUCUGGCAUGCCGCUCAAGCGGGAAUGCGUGCGGUGUUGCAUUUUCACUUACAAGUGGGACCGCAGUUGAGCAAACUGACUAUCGGCAAACCCCCACCCCGCCCACCGCGCGAUGGCUGAGAAAAGAGGACAGGAGGGAGAAGAGAUGGUUGUAGCACGGACUCGAAGAAAAUUGGUGUCGGAUGGGACUCGUGUGGGUGGCGUGUGCCGUACUGCUAGACGUGAAUGCUAGUUAUGGCCCAUGCCACCCCACUAUAUCGAGCCUAUACCGAGGUACGUAAAACAAAUUUCCUACAGUCCAUGCUCAGCCCUCCUCUAUCUCUCUUCUCAGCCAGCCAGCGGACGCGCUGAGCCCAUCGUCUGUUUGCUCACAUGCGGCCCCACAUGUUAGUGAAAACGCAAGAGGACCCACUGAACCUGCACAUCUUUCACCUCGACGUGCUGGUGAUGAAAAACAAAUCCAAUAAAGAUCUUCGGUGGCCGCUUUUGGAGUUACUCAAGAGUAGUAAGAUUCUAUUUACAGUUUAACCCAAGAUGCACAUCUCGUGGCUUCAACUACCACUCUAUUUUCUUUUAUGACACGACCUGGAUGCUGGAUGUCCCACGUGUCGGCAAAAGGAGGAAGAACCUGACCAAAUCUUCGGUUCUGCUCUCGGAUUAGACUAGUUGUGCUAACUUAAAAGUUUUAUUGUGUACUCCCUCCGUUCCAAAAUACUUGACUUCCAUUUGUCCAAAAAUGGAUGUACCUAUAUACUAAGACAUGUCUAGAUACAUAUAUAUUUUGACAAAUAGAAGGCAUGUAGUAUUGUGCAACGGAGGGAGUAGAAUGGAUGUAAGUUUUUGUAUUGGGAAGAAGAGUACAUCCAUAUAUUGACAGAGCGCAAUUUAGUAGAUGUUCUAUCACUUUUAGCUAGUAUAGAAUAGAGGCUAGACAUGAGACUAGAUGCGAGGAAGCAACGUCUACUUCUUUACACUCGAAGAAGAAAGAAGCACGCAAGAUCGAGCCUCCGCAGAUCAACAAUGAAUGCAUCGAGAAGGCACUAAUCCAACUUACUACAGGAGUAGUCAAAAUUAUCGUUGGAGUUCGUGCAAAAUGGAGGUCCGUUUGGGGUCGUGCGUUGGAGGUGGCCUUACAAGUGGGAACGCAGUUAAGGAAACCGACUGUCGGCAAACCCCCACCUCGCCCGCCGCGCGAUGGCUGAAGUUAGAGAAACAACGAGGUUGAAGAGAUUGCUCUCGCACGGACUCCAAGAAAUAAUAUGGUGUCAGAUGGAUGUCGUGGUGGUGGCGUGUGCCGUACUCCUGGACGUGAAUGCUUGUUCUGGCCCAUGCCACCCUACUACUCCUACUACUUACUCCUACUAUAUACUAUACUACUAGUAUAUCGAGGAUUCGAGGUGUUGAUUACGUACAACGAACACAUUAACAUAUGGCUACAGUAAAAACACCCGCCCGACGCGCGAAGCAUGUGAAGCUAGUACAAAUAGUGUACUACUAUUGUUGAUUGACCUCAUCCGAUAACCUGUUCUAAUGCACGUACAAUUAUGUAUUCAUAAAAUAUUUUUUUGCCUCAUCGCACCACUCAAUCAGAGAAGCGACUCGAAAGCCAUUCAUAAAUUUAGUAAGUUUAUCACAGGCAUAUCAUUUUAUUACAUAGUACAACAGGUCAUCAACCCACAUCGACAACGAGGAUACAUUAUAAAUACUAAAGUUUUCACCACACAACAAAUAACAAGCCAUGAAAUGAACUUCAACUCAACCAUUCCGCGGCGUUGGAAACGCUUGCUUUGAACCACAAGUGAUUCUCUGGGACGGGCCAUCCGUUGUCGAUCUGGAGACCAACGCAGGACUGAUCAUCCAGGCUGAAGCGGCCUACUAUAUCAGUACCAGGGUAGGGAACCACCCAAAUGUCCGAGGUAUAGACACAGUUGCUUCUCAUAAAUGUGUCAACAGUAGUUGGAUCGCCUUUCACCAUCAUCGGAUAGUUUUGUCCAAGGAAGAGUGAGUUUUCUCCAAGACUAUCAAUUCUGUGCCAGGGAGAAGGAGUUGGCGCUAGCACCCUAGUAUCCAUCCCGAAUACCAUGCAACGGGUGUUGGAAUAGGUCCGGAGAGUGCGACCAUGGGAGACUACACCUGCUUCCUUAGCAGUAACAUCAUCAGUGGGCUGUAUACACACAAGAAGAGGUGAUCCAUCGGAAUUAGUUGCCAGGCGCCACAGAGUAUAUCGGCGCUGCUCGUCCUCAUGCUCGUGAUCAUCACCAUCGUCAUCUCCCCCUUGGUUAUAAAAAUCUUCAAGUAUAGGUGGUGGGAUGUUCACAGGACCUUGGAAACACAAGAAGAAGGUUAAUUAGUAAAUGGAAACUUGCUAAGCCGCAUGCAUGUGGAUGAAACAAUUAUAAUUACGGUGGAAGACAAACGUACCGAAACAACGAGGAUGCCAUGCAAAAACAGUGCCACGAGUGGUGGCAGCAAACACAAGGCCCUCGUAUUCAAUUGCAUCACAGUAGUCAUCCGUGUACAGAAACUGAUUUUUGAGCAAUAUCCAUCGAGUGAAACCAUCAAGGAGGGCAACAAGCUUGUCGAAGAUAGCAACAACAUCAUAGUUUUUGUAAUUCCAAGAGCGGCUGGGAACUCGACAAAUUGAUAUCUUCGUAGACGACAGUCACCAUGAUCAUAUUUGAACGUGCGUACAUUACCGGUGUGCUCAACCUCUGGGCAGUGUGCUGAGGUUUUUGGAAGUGGAACCCGGUGACGAGUGUACACAUUCACAAGUUCCCACUUGCAGUUGGACCCAAUGUAAACAACCCAAUCUCCAUUUGCGCCCGCCCAAGCCUUGCCCUCAAGCGAUGGCAUCUUAACAUCACACGUAUCAUUAUCAAGCGGCAUCAACUUGCACAGGGCGAGGCCUCCGUCGUGCCGGCGCCAGUCAUCAGGGUCACGGCGAAGAAGAUAGGGGAGAUCAAACCACUCCUUGAACCUUGGGUUCCUUGCAAUGAUGUUAUUAGUUGAGUCGAGAAUGGGCUGGAACGAACUUGCCAUGCUAGCCGAGGUGAUGACGUCGCACCGAUCAAUGAGUUCCUCCACCACGUCAUCUUUCAGAUCGGGGCAAGAAUAACAAGGUCGUUUCCGGCUUGUUCCCUCCAUGGAGAAGACGAUUGAACAAUGGCAGAAGAAAGGGUGAAGGGCUGAAGGAAAAUGGAGGAGGGAGAGGAAGAGCAUGCGACAGCAGUUCCAAAUCGAGAGGGAAAGGCGAAGAGUCGGUGGACGGUUGUGAGUUUGCCACGGUUCACGAAGAGGUGCCCCGGCCUACACGUCCGUUCGGAAAUACUCCUACUACUCGCCGUCGUCUCACUGAUAUGUUGGAAUGGGACCACAUGUCAACGAAACAUGGUGUGUAACUUCUCGUGCAAAAUGCGAGUUGGCCGCGUUGGCCCGAGGUGCCGCAUUAGUUAUCGACCUUUAUUUUUUUAAUGGCGUGCCGAUCAGUUUUGAAGCACGACUAACUAGUACUGUACGCAGAGAAAAUAUAAACUACUCUACCACUACCCCACCUCCAGUACUAGUAGUAUAAAAAAGAUAUAUAUAUAGGCUGGAGCUUCAGCACUUUCUUGCUAAGGGCUGCCCACUUGCUUCUCACACUACCACCCUCUCUCCAGAUCUAAAAAAUACGGCCCCUCUCUCCCUCCUCACCGGUGGUCACAGAUCCACCGGGGAAGAAAAGGACGUGCAGCAUUGACGCACUCGUCGGCGGCGAGCGAGGUCACGCACUGACGACAAUGCCGUCCUCUCAGACCUAGCGACCGCGCGGGAUGGCCUCCGUCCCCAAGCUCGCUGCCGUAGUGUGUGCGGAGGACGACGACCAUGAGCGAAGCCACUUCCCACCGACCCUCGGGUAUGCUACCUCUUUUCGAGCCAUAACCUUGUUCUAUUGCCCCAUCUGUUACGUCGUUGCAUGUGGAUCUUUUUCCACUCCACCAUCUUCCCAAUUUGCUAUCCUCUACUCUGCUAGCCACGCAGACGAAAACCAUAAUUUGCACUAUUAAAGGAAACCCUACUUCAUGCAGACUAAUCCAUGUCUGGGUUGAAUAAGGAAAGGAAGGGAGACUGUACUGUCCAAGAGAGUAGGCAUCAAACCCGCAUCUAGGCUGAAAAGGGGAAAAAUCAGUAGCUAAGGAACGAGUCUCGUGUCUCUUGGUUGAAGAAGGGUAGAAAGGCAUGACAACGCAAUAGAGAAUGACCAGGUCGAUCGGUUUGUUGUCCUCGCAUAGGAAAAAGGUGGCUAAAGAGAACAAAAAUGGGACCGUAAUCCACAUAUGUUGCCUGGAUAUUUGUUGCUCUGGGCAACCAUACCUCCCUCACCACUCUGCGCCCAUGGAGGUACAUCAUACUGGUGCCUCCCAUGCUCUUAUUGCCACUUUCUUUGCUGUUAGUAUAACACUAGCAAUCAAGUCAAGCAAUGCUACUGCUAAAGUGAUGCCACAUUUAACUAAUGCCGCUCUCAGUCUAAUGCCACCCAUAAAUUUAAGCAAUACCAUUUAAUGUCACUGGAUUAUUUCAGGGUUAGCUGUUGAUUGUGGAUGUAUUAAAGAUUUUUCAGCUAUAAGGCAUUCUAAUGCUGUUGCACAGCCAGUAUACCAACGAUGAAACUUGUUACUCCCGUCAGAUUUUUGCACUGUUAAUGCUUAUAGAUUACAUACCUCACUUUCAUGAGAUAAGUUAAUUUUUUUGUACAGUGUCACCAAAAUGCCAAGGCGCUGAUGUCAUUUUAUUUUGGUUAAACUGCACAGACAAUUAUGAAGACAAGAGGAAAGGUCAAGAGUGGGCACCUCCUCCUCCGGCUAUUCUCUUGAGGAGGUCUGUAUGUUUGUCUCUAAUGCCUAUCAACUACAUACCUGACAUCAUAAUGUAAUGUUAAGUCAUUUCCUUUUGUACAGUGUCACUGAAUUGUCAAGGCGGUGAUGGCAUUUUAUUUUAGUAGAACUGCACAAAAUUUGCUUAAAAGAAGAGGAAAGGUCAGGAAUGGCUCACUUUUCUAGAAAAAACUAUGUAUGCCUUCCUCACAUCAGCCGAUGUUGCUUUAUUUAUUCCUUCAAACAGGUGGUUAGAAACAGUCUUGCUACCUUUUCCCAUUAAGAAAUUGUAAUGCUUAUAUUUGUGAGUCUAUGCUUCAACUAGUGCCACUUUUAGAGUAAUCACACUUUCAAUAUCUAUGCAAACAGGGAUGCUCGAUUUUAGUGGAACUGCACAAAAAGUCCAACUGGUUCAACAUUAGGAGCAUGUUUUUUUCUCAACCUUUAUAUCCAAUUGGUGGCACUAUGAGCUGCUCAUUAUGAAGGUGCAUGGUUUGCUACUAUCUUGCUACUCUUUUUGUACUACCAUUAGAUAGUAAUACUAGUGGUUUGCAUGUGAAUUUAUUGGCAGGGUGGACCUACAUUGGAGGUGCAGGACAAGAUUCAAUGAUUGGAUGCUCAAUUUCGGUUGUAUCGAUUUCACCUCUUCCAUCACUGUGAACAUGGAUAUCCUUGUUCUGAUGAAGAAUAGGCGCUAUAUUUCUGCUCUGAACCAGCAAAUCAAUUCAGUAUGAAAUUGUCCAGGGCAAAACAUAACUGUAUCAGAUUGUCCAGUGCAGAACAUGACAGAUGCUAAGCGGAAGAGACAUGUUUAAACCGAAAAUACAAGGUGUGGUAUAUGUUUACUAGCUGCUUGAUAUUUGUGCAGAUGGAGAUGUCUGCCCGUUGCUAUUUGGCAAACCAACAAAGUGCCCGCAAUUUUGGUUGAACUGCAUAAGAGAAUAGUAUAGUCACUGCAUGCAGUGCCAUUUGAAAAUAGACACAGAAAGAUUGGAUAGUCACUUCAUGGACUGCAGAAAAGUAGUACUGUACUAUUUAUUGGCCAACACUAGGUGCUUCAUUGCUUUGGUCUGAUUAUACAAUGGACAUCAUUUUGCCUAAAUUAAAGUUUGCAUUCCGAAAGUAGUCUCGCAGUGUGAUCGAGGGAAGACCAAAUCAUAUUGCAGUGCAUGUUCCUCCAUCAUGUCUGGUUCAUUCUCAUGGUUCCAGCUGUUGGUGAAACCACUUAUGUUUGCAAGAGGAAUUGUAGACUUCACAAACAAAUUUGUCUUUCAGUCUGUACUGAAUGUUGGCCAAUAGAAGCAUCCAUGUUAGUAGGAAGAACAGAUGUUUUUUCUAGAUCUUUGCUUUUGGAGCUACAUAUUUGUAUAUGAUCUGUGAGUCAUUAAGAUGCAUUAACAUGUUGAUCUUAUGUAUGGGAAUCGUACUAGUUAGUUUUAGUUGCGACGCAAGAUCCGAAGUGGCUGAUCUUUGCUUUUGGAGCUACAUAUUUGUAUAUGAUCUGUGAAUCAUUGAGAUGCAUUAACAGUUACUUAUUUCUGUUCGCUCAGUGUUUACAAGUUACUGAUCGAUCACUAGCUAGCCUACAAAUGCGCUCCUGGCAGUUUUAUUUGCGAUGCAAGAUGCAAAGUGACAGUUUUUUGAAUAAAAAUGCCUACCUCUGAAGAAACUGACAAGCUCGUACGCAAGCAAGUGCCUCCUAUCGCACCUCUGGCAAGUCCGAGGCGAGGCGGAGGACGCCGGUGCUAGCGUUUAGCAUGGACAGCAGAUGGCGGCCGGCAUCGUCUAGUUAGCUAAGAGUAAGUUAGUACUUGUACGCUACUAGAGUGUUAGUGGGAGUAGAUAGUUAACUUGGCUAUGAUGGUUGUCAACGUGGAAGUUCAGUACUCUAUAUGUGGAUCAGACAUGUUACUUUGGUCUGAAUGUUGAACUUUCCGUUUGAACAUAUGGAAUGGGCUGUUAUUUUUUUAAAAGGGUUGUAUUUGUCCUCCACGGUUUAGAGGCUGACUUGUGGGCCUAGCAAGUUGACGCGUACACAAUCAGGAAAUGAUUGUACGUGGAGAGGAUGACAGCAGGGACCCGCUAAGGUCAUGGCAGUACACAAGCAAGUGCCUCCUUAUUUCAAGCCAAUAAAAAAAUGGCUCCUCCUAGUGGAUUUCUGACAUCUGGGUCCCAUGCCAUUGUCAACGUAGUCAAUAAACGAGAGAAUUGCACAACGAGCGGCUGACACCAGGGACCCAGCAGCUCACCUAGUUAUUUUUGUUUUGGGUUAAUUUGAUAAAUGCCACUCCAAAUCUGGUGUAUACGAGAAAUGCCACUGCAAUUUCCAAACUUUGAAAAAUGCCAUUUCAUGCCAUUUCUAGUGGCAUUUUUCGAAGUCUGGAAUGACGUUUUUCAAAGUUUGCAAACUGCGGUGGCGUUUUUCAAAGUUUGCAAAAAUUGCAGUGGCAUUUUUCAAAGUUUGGAAAUUGCAGUGGCAUUUUUAUGAAUCGCCAUAAUUGGAGUGGCAUUUAUCUAAUUUGUUUUGGAGACGGAAGUAGGGUGUCAACUGGGCUGUGCCGGACACUCUGGCCUGUCUAGACAGCCUUUUCUUUUAUGUUUACCACAGACCAGCCUAGUAGUUUUUUUUCUGAAAAUGGCUAGCCCAGUUUUUUUGUGAUUUGUCAAGUAAGUCGCUUUAUCAGGCCUGUUGGGCUGCAAAUCUUUCAAGACGAGGAGAGCUUCAUUCGACUGGCCGAGAAAAUGGCCUAUCAGUAAUGAGAAAUGGGUUGUACAUUUUUAAAACACAUCAAACCGGCAAUUAUUUUCAAAUAUCUUUUUUUUCAUUUCGAGAUUUUAAAUUGCAUUGAUUUUUAUGCGUGGACAAUUUAUUGGAUUUUAUAUUGAUAUACAUUUAUUUUUUAAAUCAGUCUGAAUGUGACUCAAAAUUUCGGGAUUAAAAACAGUUCAGACCGCACCGACAUACGCAAAAUUUCGUAUAAUUUUUUAACCGUGGCCACAAUAUGGGUUGUAAUGCUAACAUAAAGAAUAUGGGCUCCAAAAAACCCCAUAAGAAAUAGCAAAUGGGCUGUAAAUUAUUUGAAAUAAUGGCAGAUGGGCUGUAUGCUGUUUUCCACAGAUUUGAGGCUUUCCACAGAUGGCCUGUAUACUGUUGGAUGUCCAUCCCACGGCCUCGUGCUUCUUCAAUCUCUGCUCUUCCUGCUCCAGCCGCUCAAACAAGCGCCGACGGGACUGCCUGCUCGCUCCUUCCCGCGGCCGGUUGUGCUGCCGCGCAGGCCUCACCGCCCCAUCGUACUCCCAUCGCUGGCCAAGCCAUCCCUCUACUCACCCACACCUGCUGUUAUUCUCCAGCGACGGCAGAUGAACCAGUAAACCCUUAUACAGUCGUACUCCCCUCCGCGUGGGAAACAAAAACAACGGCCGAGUCUUCCCUGCCUCUGUGUCGUUCCCUUCAUAGGCCUCGCCGUCGUCCCCCGCCCUGGUGUUGGGUUUCGUAGUAAUUUCAAAAAAAUUCCUACGCACACGCAAGAUCAUGUGAUGCAUUGCAACGAGAGGGGAGAGUGUUGUCUACGUACCCACGUAGACCGACUGCGGAAGCGAUGACACAACAUAGAGGAAGUAGUCGUACGUCUUCAUGAUCCAACCGAUCAAGCACCGAAACUACGGCACCUCCAAGUUCGAGCACACGUUCAGCUCGAUGACGAUCCCCAGACUCCGAUCCAGCAAAGCGUCGGGGAAGAGUUCCGUCAGCACGACGGCGUGGUGACGAUCUUGAUGCACUACAGCAGCAGGGCUUCGCCUAAACUCCGCUACAGUAUUAUCGAGGACUAUGGUGGCAGGGGCACCGCACACGGCUAAGGAAUAGAUCACGUGGAUCAACUUGUGUGUUUCUGGGGUGCCUCUGCCUCAGUAUAUAAAGGACUAGAGGGGGGAGGCUGGCCGGCCAUAGGAGGCGCGCCAGGAGAGUCCUACUCCCUCUGGGAGUAGGAUCCCCCCCCCCAAUCCUAGUUGGAAUAGGACUCCUUGAGGGGGGGGAGAGAGAGAGGGGGGCCGGCCACGUCGUUGAAGUCCCGAUUCUAAGCCGUAAAGCAUGGCACACUGAACUAUCGAGUAGUCAUCAGCUUUGCUCUGCCAGACGUUCAUAACAUUCGGCGUUGCUCCUGCAGCAGGCCUGGCACCCAGCGGUGCUUCCAGGACGUAAUUCUUCUGUGCAGCAAUGAGGAUAAUCCUCAAGUUACGGACCAAGUCCGUGUAAUUGCUACCAUCAUCUUUCAACUUUGCUUUCUCAAGGAAUGCAUUAAAAUUCAACGGAACAACAGCACGAGCCAUCUAUCUACUAUCAAACAUAAACAAGCAAGAUACUAAUCAGGUACUAAGUUUCAUGAUAAAUUUAAGUUCAGUUAAUCAAGUUAAUUAAAGAACUCCCACUUAGAUAGACAUCCCUCUAAUCCUCUAAGUGAUUACGUGAUCCAAAUCAACUAAACCAUAACCGAUCAUCACGUGAGAUGAAGUAAUUUUCAAUGGUGAACAUCGUUAUGUUGAUCAUAUCUACUAUAUGAUUCACGCUCGACCUUUCGGUCUCCGUGUUCCGAGGCCAUAUCUGUAUAUGCUUGGCUCGUCAAGUAUAACCUGAGUAUUCUGCGUGUGCGACUGUUUUGCACCCGUUGUAUUUGAACGUAGAACCUAUCACACCCGAUCAUCACGUGGUGUCUCAGCACGAAGAACUUUCGCAACGGUGCAUACUCAGGGAGAACACUUCUUGAUAAUUUAGUGAGAGAUCAUCUUAUAAUGCUACCGUCAAUCAAAGCAAGAUAAGAUGCAUAAAAAGGAUAAACAUCACAUGCAAUCAAUAUAAGUGAUAUGAUAUGGCCAUCAUCAUCUUGUGCUUGUGAUCUCCAUCUCCGAAGCACCGUCGUGAUCACCAUCGUCAUCGGCGUGACACCUUGAUCUCCAUCGUAGCAUCGUUGUCGUCUCGCCAAGCUUAUGCUUCCACGACUAUCACUACCGCUUAGUAAUAAAGUAAAGCAUUACAUCGUGAUUUCAUUGCAUACAAUAAAGCGACAACCAUAUGGCUCCUGCCAGUUGCCGAUAACUCGGUUACAAAACAUGAUCAUCUCAUACAAUAAAAUUCAGCAUCAUGUCUUGACCAUAUCACAUCACAACAUGCCCUGCAAAAACAAGUUAGACGUCCUCUACUUUGUUGUUGCAAGUUUUACGUGGCUGCUACGGGCUUAAGCAAGAACCAAUCUCACCUACUCAUCAAAACCACAACGAUAGUUUGUCAAAUAGACUCCGUUUUAACCUUCGCAAGGACCGGGCGUAGCCAUACUCGGUUCAACUAAAGUUGGAGAGACAGUCGCCCGCAAGCCACCUAUGUGCAAAGCACGUCGGGGGAACCGGUCUCGCGUAAGCGUACGCGUAAGGUUGGUCCGGGUCGUCUCGUCCAACAAUGCCGCCGAACCAAAGUAUGACAUGUUGGUAGGCAGUAUGACUUAUAUCGCCCAUAACUUACUUGUGUUCUACUCAUGCAUAUAACAUCAACAUAAAUAACCUAGGCUCGGAUACCACUGUUGGGUUUCAUAGUAAUUUCAAAAAAUUUCAUACGCACACACAAGAUCAUGUGCAACGAGAGGGGAGAGUGUUGUCUAUGUACCCACGUAGACCGACUGCGGAAGCGAUGACAUAACGUAGAGGAAGUACUCGUAUGUCUUCACGAUCCAACCGAUCAAGCACCGAAACUACGGCACCUCCGAGUUCGAGCACACGUUCAGCUCGAUGACGAUCCCCGGACUCCGAUCCAGCAAAGCGUCGGGGAAGAGUUCCGUCAGCACGACGGCGUGGUGACGAUCUUGAUGCACUACAGCAGCAGGGCUUCGCCUAAACUCCGCUACAGUAUUAUCGAGGACUAUGGUGGCAGGGGGCACCGCACACGGCUAAGGAAUAGAUCACGUGGAUCAACUUGUGUGUUUCUGGGGUGCCUCUGCCUCAGUAUAUAAAGGACUAGAGGGGGGAGGCUGGCCGGCCAUAGGAGGCGCGCUAGGAGAGUCCUACUCCCUCUGGGAGUAGGAUUCCCCCCCCCCCAAUCCUAGUUGGAAUAGGACUCCUUGAGGGGGGAAAGAGAGAGAGGGGGGCCGGCCACCUCUCCUAGUCCUAAUAGGACUAGGGGAAGGGGGGAGGCGUGCGGCCACCUUUGGGCUGCCCAUUUCUCCUUUCCACUAAGGCCCAUCAAGGCCCAUAUGAUUUCCGGGGGGUUCCGGUAACCUCCCGGUACUCCGGUAAAAUCCCGAUUUCACCCGGAACACUUCCGAUAUCCAAACAUGGGCUUCCAAUAUAUCAAUCUUUAUGUCUCGACCAUUUCGAGACUCCUCGUCAUGUCCGUGAUAACAUCCGGGACUCCGAACAACCUUCGGUAUAUCAAAAUGCAUAAACUCAUAAUAUAACUGUCAUCGAAACCUUAAGCGUGCGGACCCUACGGGUUCGAGAACAAUGUAGACAUGACCGAGACACGUCUCCGGUCAAUAACCAAUAGCGGGACCUGGAUGCCCAUAUUGGCUCCUACAUAUUCUACGAAGAUCUUUAUCGGUCAGACCGCAUAACAACAUACGUUGUUCCCUUUGUCAUUGGUAUGUUACUUGCCCGAGAUUCGAUCGUCGGUAUUCCAAUACCUAGUUCAAUCUCGUUACCGGCAAGUCUCUUUACUCGUUCUGUAAUACAUCAUCCCGCAACUAACUCAUCUAGUUGCAAUGCUUGCAAGGCUUAAGUGAUGUGCAUUACCGAGAGGGCCCAGAGAUACCUCUCCGACAAUCGGAGUGACAAAUCCUAAUCUCGUAAUACACCAACCCAACAUCUACCUUUGGAGACACCUGUAAUGCUCCUUUAUAAUCACCCAGUUAUGUUGUGACGUUUGGUAGCACCCAAAGUGUUCCUCCAGCAAACGGGAGUUGCAUAAUCUCAUAGUCAUAGGAACAUGUAUAAGUCAUGAAGAAAGCAAUAGCAACACACUAAACGAUCGGGUGCUAAGCUAAUGGAAUGGGUCAUGUCAAUCAGAUCAUUCAACUAAUGGUGUGACCUCAUUAAUCAAAUAACAACUCUUUGUUCAUGGUUAGGAAACAUAACCAUCUUUGAUUAACGAGCUAGUCAAGUAGAGGCAUACUAGUGACACUCUGCUUGUCUAUGUAUUCACACAUGUAUUAUGUUUCCGGUUAAUACAAUUCUAGCAUGAAUAAUAAACAUUUAUCAUGAUUAUAAGGAAAUAAAUAAUAACUUUAUUAUUGCCUCUAGGGCAUAUUUCCUUCAGUCUCCCACUUGCACUAGAGUCAAUAAUCUAGAUUACACAAUAAUGAUUCUAACACCCAUGGAGCCUUGGUGUUGAUCAUGUUUUGCUCGUGGAAGAGGCUUAGUCAGCGGGUCUGCAACAUUCAGAUCCGUAUGUAUCUUGCAAAUUUCUAUGUCUCCCACUUGGACUAAAUCCCGAAUGGAAUUGAAGCGUCUCUUGAUGUGCUUGGUACUCUUGUGAAAUCUGGAUUCCUUUACCAAGGCAAUUGCACCAGUAUUGUCACAAAAGAUUUUCAUUGGACCCGAUGCACUAGGUAUGACACCUAGAUCGGAUAUGAACUCCUUUAUCCAGACUCCUUGAUUUGCUACUUCCGAAGCAGCUAUGUACUCCGCUUCACAUGUAGAUCCCGCCACGAUGCUUUGUUUAGAACUGCACCAACUGACAGCUACACCGUUUAAUGUAAACACGUAUCCGGUUUGCGAUUUAGAAUCGUCCGGAUCAGUGUCAAAGCUUGCAUCAACAUAACCAUUUACGAUGAGCUCUUUGUCACCUCCAUAUACGAUAAACAUAUCCUUAGUUCUUUUUAGGUACUUCAGGAUGUUCUUGACCACUGUCCAGUGAUCCACUCUUGGAUAACUUUGGUACCUCCCUGCUAGACUUAUAGCAAGGCACACAUCAGGUCUGGUACACAGCAUUGCAUACAUGAUAGAUCCUAUUGCUGAUGCAUAGGGAAUAUCUUUCAUAUUCUCUCUAUCUUCUGCAGUGGUCGGGCAUUGAGUCUUACUCAAUUUCACACCUUGUAACACAGGCAAGAAUCCUUUCUUUGCUUGAUCCAUUUUCUUCAAAAUUUUGUCAAGGUAUGUUGUUUGUGAAAGUCCAAUUAAGCGUCUUGAUAUAUCUCUAUAAAUCUUAAUGCCUAAUAUGUAAGCAGCUUCACCGAGGUCUUUCAUUGAAAAACUCUUAUUCAAGUAUCCUUUUAUGCUAUCCAGAAAUUCUAUAUCAUUUCCAAUCAACAAUAUGUCAUCCACAUAUAAUAUCAGAAAUGCUACAGAGCUCCCACUCACUUUCUUGUAAAUACAGGCUUCUCCAAAAGUCUGUAUAAAACCAAAUGCUUUGAUCACACUAUCAAAACGUUUAUUCCAACUCCGAGAGGCUUGCACCAGUCCAUAAAUGGAUCGCUGGAGCUUGCACACUUUGUUAGCUCCCUUUGGAUCGACAAAACCUUCUGGUUGCAUCAUAUACAACUCUUCUUCCAGAAAUCCAUUCAGGAAUGCAGUUUUGACAUCCAUCUGCCAAAUUUCAUAAUCAUAAAAUGUGGCAAUUGCUAACAUGAUUCGGACAGACUUAAGCAUCGCUACGGGUGAGAAGGUCUCAUCGUAGUCAAUCCCUUGAACUUGCCGAAAACCUUUUGCAACAAGUCGAGCUUUGUAGACAGUAAUAUUACCAUCAGCGUCAGUCUUCUUUUUGAAGAUCCAUUUAUUCUCAAUUGCUUGCCGAUCAUCAGGCAAGUCAACCAAAGUCCACACUUUGUUCUCAUACAUGGAUCCCAUCUCAGAUUUCAUGGCUUCAAGCCACUUUGCGGAAUCUGGGCUCACCAUCGCUUCUUCAUAGUUCGUAGGUUCAUCAUGAUCUAAUAACAUGACUUCCAGAACAGGACUACCAUACCACUCUGGUGCGGAUCUUACUCUGGUUGAUCUACGAGGUUCAGUAGUAUCUUGUUCUGAAGUUUCAUGAUCAUCAUCAUUAGCUUCCUCACUGACUGGUGUAGGUGUCGCAGAAACAGUUUUCUGUGAUGUACUACUUUCCAAUAAGGGAGUAGGUACAGUUACCUCGUCAAGUUCUACUUUCCUCCCACUCACUUCUUUCGAGAGAAACUCCUUCUCCAGAAAGUUUCAGAAUUUAGCAACAAAAGUCUUGCCUUCGGAUCUGUGAUAGAAGGUGUAUCCAAUAGUUUCCUUUGGAUAUCCUAUGAAGACACAUUUCUCCGAUUUGGGUUCGAGCUUAUCAGGUUGAAGCUUUUUCACAUAAGCAUCGCAGCCCCAAACUUUUAGAAACGACAACUUUGGUUUCUUGCCAAACCACAGUUCAUAAGGCGACGUCUCAACGGAUUUGGAUGGUGCCCUAUUUAACGUGAAUGCGGCCGUCUCUAGAGCGUAUCCCCAAAACGAUAGCGGUAAAUCAGUAAGAGACAUCAUAGAUCACACCAUAUCCAGUAAAGUACGAUUACGACGUUCGGACACACCAUUACACUGAGGUGUUCCGGGUGGCGUGAGUUGCGAAACUAUUCCACAAUUUUUCAAAUGUACACCAAACUCGUAACUCAAAUAUUCUCCUCCACGAUCAGAUCGUAGAAACUUUAUUUUCUUGUUACGAUGAUUUUCAACUUCACUCUGAAAUUCUUUGAACUUUUCAAAUGUUUCAGACUUAUGUUUCAUUAAGUAGAUAUACCCAUAUCUGCUUAAAUCAUCUGUGAAGGUGAGAAAAUAACAAUAUCCGCCAUGAGCCUCAAUAUUCAUCGGACCACAUACAUCUGUAUGUAUGAUUUCCAACAAAUCUGUUGCUCUCUCCAUAGUACCGGAGAACGGCGUUUUGGUCAUCUUGCCUAUAAGGCACGGUUCGCAAGUACCAAGUGAUUCAUAAUCAAGUGGUUCCAAAAGUCCAUCAGAAUGGAGUUUCUUCAUGCGCUUUACACCGAUAUGACCUAAACGGUAGUGCCACAAAUAAGUCGCACUAUCAUUAUCAACUCUGCAUCUUUUGGCUUCAACAUUAUGAAUAUGUGUGUUACUACUAUCGAGAUCCAACAAGAAUAGACCACUCUUCAAGGGUGCAUGACCAUAAAAGAUAUUACUCAUAUAAAUAGAACAACCAUUAUUCUCUGAUUUAAAUGAAUAACUGUCUCGCAUCAAACAAGAUCCAGAUAUAAUGUUCAUGCUUAACGCUGGCACCAAAUAACAAUUAUUUAGGUCUAAUACUAAUCCCGAAGGUAGAUGUAGAGGUAGCGUGCCGACUGCGAUCACAUCGACUUUGGAACUGUUACCCACGCGCAUCGUCACCUCGUCCUUAACCAACCUUCGCUUGAUCCGUAGUCCCUAUUUCGAGUUGCAAAUAUUAGCAACAGAACCAGUAUCAAAUACCCAGGUGCUACUGCGAGCAUUAGUAAGGUACACAUCAAUAACAUGUAUAUCACAUAUACCUUUGUUCACCUUGCCAUCCUUCUUAUCCGCCAAAUACUUGGGGCAGUUCCGCUUCCAGUGACCAGUCUGCUUGCAAUAGAAGCACUCAGUUUUAGGCUUAGGUCCAGGUUUGGGUUUCUUCUCUUGAGUAGCAACUUGCUUGCCGCUCUUUUUGAAGUUCCCCUUCUUCUUCCCUUUGCCCUUUUUCUUGAAACUAGUGGUCUUGUUGACCAUCAACACUUGAUGCUCCUUCUUGAUUUCUACCUCCGCAGCUUUCAGCAUCGCGAAGAGCUCGGGAAUAGUCUUGUUCAUCCCUUGCAUAUUAUAGUUCAUCACGAAGCUCUUGUAGCUUGGUGGCAGUGAUUGAAGAAUUCUGUCAGUGACGCUAUCAUCUGGAAGAUUAACUCCCAAUUGAAUCAAGUGAUUAUUAUACCCAGACAUUUUGAGUAUAUGCUCACUGACAGAACUGUUCUCCUCCAUCUUGCAGCUAUAGAACUUAUUGGAGACUUCAUAUCUCUCAAUCCGGGCAUUUGCUUGAAAUAUUAACUUCAACUCCUGGAACAUCUCAUAUGCUCCAUGACGUUCAAAACGUCGUUGAAGUCCCGAUUCUAAGCCGUAAAGCAUGGCACACUGUACUAUCGAGUAGUCAUCAGCUUUGCUCUGCCAGACGUUCAUAACAUCCGGCGUUGCUCCUGCAGCAGGCCUGGCACCCGGCGGUGCUUCCAGGACGUAAUUCUUCUGUGCAGCAAUGAGGAUAAUCCUCAAGUUACGGACCCAGUCCGUGUAAUUGCUACCAUUAUCUUUCAACUUUGCUUUCUCAAGGAACGCAUUAAAAUUCAACGGAACAACAGCACGAGCCAUCUAUCUACUAUCAAACAUAAAUAAGCAAGAUACUAAUCAGGUACUAAGUUUCAUGAUAAAUUUAAGUUCAGUUAAUCAAGUUAAUUAAAGAACUCCCACUUAGAUAGACAUCCCUCUAAUCCUCUAAGUGAUUACGUGAUCCAAAUCAACUAAACCAUAACCGAUCAUCACGUGAGAUGGAGUAGUUUUCAAUGGUGAACAUCGUUAUGUUGAUCAUAUCUACUAUAUGAUUCACGCUCGACCUUUCGGUCUCCGUGUUCCGAGGCCAUAUCUGUAUAUGCUUGGCUCGUCAAGUAUAACAUGAGUAUUCCGCGUAUGCAACUGUUUUGCACCCGUUGUAUUUGAACGUAGAACCUAUCACACCCGAUCAUCACGUGGUGUCUCAGCACGAAGAACUUUCGCAACGGUGCAUACUCAGGGAGAACACUUCUUGAUAAUUUAGUGAGAGAUCAUCUUAUAAUGCUACCGUCAAUCAAAGCAAGAUAAGAUGCAUAAAAAGGAUAAACAUCACAUGCAAUCAAUAUAAGUGAUAUGAUAUGGCCAUCAUCAUCUUGUGCUUGUGAUCUCCAUCUCCGAAGCACCGUCGUGAUCACCAUCGUCACCGGCGUGACACCUUGAUCUCCAUCGUAGCAUCGUUGUCGUCUCACCAAGCUUAUGCUUCCAUGACUAUCACUACCGCUUAGUAAUAAAGUAAAGCAUUACAUCUGAUUUCAUUGCAUACAAUAAAGCGACAACCAUAUGGCUCCUGCCAGUUGCCGAUAACUCGGUUACAAAACAUGAUCAUCUCAUACAAUAAAAUUCAGCAUCAUGUCUUGACCAUAUCACAUCACAACAUGCCCUGCAAAAACAAGUUAGACGUCCUCUACUUUGUUGUUGCAAGUUUUACGUGGCUGCUACGGGCUUAAGCAAGAAAAAAUCUCACCUACGCAUUAAAACCACAACGAUAAUUUGUCAAAUAGACUCCGUUUUAACCUUCGCAAGGACCGGGCGUAGCCAUACUCGGUUCAACUAAAGUUGGAGAGACAGUCGCCCGCAAGCCACCUAUGUGCAAAGCACGUCGGGGGAACCGGUCUCGCGUAAGCGUACGCGUAAGGUUGGUCCGAGUCGUCUCGUCCAACAAUGCCGUCGAACCAAAGUAUGACAUGCUGGUAGGCAGUAUGACUUAUAUCGCCCACAACUUACUUGUGAUCUACUCGUGCAUAUAACAUCAACAUAAAUAACCUAGGCUCUGAUACCACUAUUGGGUUUCGUAGUAAUUUCAAAAAAAAUCCUAUGCACACGCAAGAUCAUGUGAUGCAUUGCAACGAGAGGGGAGAGUGUUGUCUACGUACCCACGCAGACCGACUGCGGAAACGAUGACACAACAUAGAGGAAGUAGUCGUACAUCUUCACGAUCCAACCGAUCAAGCACCGAAACUACGGCACCUCCGAGUUCAAGCACACGUUCAGCUCGAUGACGAUCCCCGGACUCCGAUCCAGCAAAGCGUCGGGGAAGAGUUCUGUCAGCACGACGGCGUGGUGACGAUCUUGAUGCACUACAGUAGCAGGGCUUCGCCUAAACUCCGCUACAGUAUUAUCGAGGACUAUGGUGGCAGGGGGCACCGCACACGGCUAAGGAAUAGAUCACGUGGAUCAACUUGUGUGUUUCUGGGGUGCCUCUGCCUCAGUAUAUAAAGGACUAGAGGGGGGAGGCUGGCCGGCCAUAGGAGGCGCGCCAGGAGAGUCCUACUCCCUCUGGGAGUAGGAUUCCCCCCCCCCCCAAUCCUAGUUGGAAUAGGACUCCUUGAGAGGGGAAAGAGAGAGAGGGGAGCCGGCCACCUCUCCUAGUCCUAAUAGGACUUGGGGAAGGGGGGAGGCGCGCGGCCACCUUUGGUCUGCCCCUUUCUCCUUUCCACUAAGGCCCAUCAAGGCCCAUAUGGUUCCCGGGGGGUUCCGGUAAACUCCCGGUACUCCGGUAAAAUCCCGAUUUCACCCGGAACACUUUCGAUAUCCAAACAUAGGCUUCCAAUAUAUCAAUCUUUAUGUCUCGACCAUUUCGAGACUCCUCGUCAUGUCCGUGAUCACAUCCGGGACUCCGAACAACCUUCGGUAUAUCAAAAUGCAUAAACUCAUAAUAUAACUGUCAUCGAAACCUUAAGCGUGCGGACCCUACGGGUUCGAGAACAAUGUAGACAUGACCGAGACACGUCUCCGGUCAAUAACCAAUAGCAGGACCUGGAUGCCCAUAUUGGCUCCUACAUAUUCUAUGAAGAUCUUUAUCGGUCAGACCGCAUAACAACAUACGUUGUUCCCUUUGUCAUUGGUAUGUUACUUGCCCGAGAUUCGAUCGUCGGUAUUCCAAUACCUAGUUCAAUCUCGUUACCGACAAGUCUCUUUACUCGUUCUGUAAUACAUCAUCCCAUAACUAACUCAUCUAGUUGCAAUGCUUGCAAGGCUUAAGUGAUGUGCAUUACCGAGAGGGCCCGGAGAUACCUCUCCGACAAUCGGAGUGACAAAUCCUAAUCUCGAAAUACGCCAACCCAACAUCUACCUUUGGAAACACCUGUAAUGCUCCUUUAUAAUCACCCAGUUACGUUGUGAUGUUUGGUAGCACCCAAAGUGUUCCUCCGGCAAACGGGAGUUGCAUAAUCUCAUAGUCAUAGGAACAUGUAUAAGUCAUGAAGAAAGCAAUAGCAACACACUAAACGAUUGGGUGCUAAGCUAAUGGAAUGGGUCAUGUCAAUCAGAUCAUUCAACUAAUGACGUGACCUCGUUAAUCAAAUAACAACUCUUUGUUCAUGGUUAGGAAACAUAACCAUCUUUGAUUAACGAGCUAGUCAAGUAGAGGCAUACUAGUGACACUCUGUUUGUCUAUGUAUUCACACAUGUAUUAUGUUUCCGGUUAAUACAAUUCUAGCAUGAAUAAUAAACAUUUAUCAUGAUUAUAAGGAAAUAAAUAAUAACUUUAUUAUUGCCUCUAGGGCAUAUUUCCCUCACCUGGUGCUCUCGGCGUGGCGUGGUCAGCGUGGUCAACGCCCGACAUGCAUCUGAAGUGGACUGUACGUGGAGAGGCUGACAGCUGGGUCCACGACCGCAUGCAAGGAAAUGCCUCCUUAUUACGUGCAAAAUAAUGAUUUCCUCCACCUGACAUCUGGGACCCACCGAAGCGGCCUCUGUAUUUCGCGAAAAAAACGUUACCGCCAUUGACAGCUCGGACCCACCAGCUAUAUCUUCGCAUGCAAGGAAGUGCCUCCUUAUUACGCGAAAAAAAUGAAUACUCCCCCUGCUAGCUGGGACCUAGUAUAGUGGGCCUACUGAGUUGACGGGGACGAAGGGCUUUGUCAACUUAGUCAAUAUGCGCGAUUCUAGCUCGACUGACCGUAUGAUGUCCAUCCAACGGCCGUAGUGCUUCUUCAACCUCUGGUCUUCUUGCUCCAGCCGCCCAAACCAGCGCCGGUCGUGCCACCUGCUCCUGCCUCCCGUGGCCGGCUGUGAUGCCGCGGAGGCCUCACCGCCCCCAUACUACUCCCACCGCUGUCCAGGCCAUCCCUCCACUCCACUCACCCACACCCCCUGUUAUUCUGCGGCGACGGCAGCGCAGCCGAACCAGUGAACCCUCGUACUCCUCUUCGUGUGGGCAUCCACUGCCGCGUCUUCCCCGGCUCCGCGUCGUCCCCUUCCUAGGCCUCGCUGUUGUCCACCACCGUGGUGCUGUCGGCGCACCGUGGUCAACGACCGAAUUCCAUCGAAAGAAUACUGUACGUGGAGAGGCCGACAGCUGGGUCCACGGCAGCCGCACGGAAGUGCCUCCUUAUUACGCGGAAAAUAAUUAUUCCUCCACCUGACAGCAGGGACCCACCGGACGGGCCACCAGUAUUUUGCGAAAAAAUCGUUUCCCCCUGACUGAUGGGACCCAUCGGACGGGCCACCGUAUUUCACGAAAAAACAUUCCCCCCGCUGUCAGCUCGACCCACCGGAAGUGCCUCCUUAUUACGCACAAAAAAUGAAUACUCCCCCAGCUAGCUGGGACCCACCUUGCUGGAAGGCUGACUUGUGGGCCUACUAAGUUGACGGGGACGGAGGGCUUUGUAAACUUAGUCAAUAUGCACGAUUCUAGCUCCAGUGACCGUACGAUGUCCAUCCAACGGCCAUAGUGCUUCUUCAACCUCUGGUCUUCUUGCUCCAGCCGCCCAAAGCAGCGCCGGUCGUGCCGCCUGCUCCUGCCUUCCGUGGCCGGCUGUGCUGCAGCGGAGGCCUCACCGCCCCCUACUAUUCCCACCGCUGGCCAGGCCCUGCGACGAUGGCAGCCUCACACCGCAGCCGAACGAGUGAACCCUCAUACUCCUCUCCGCGUGGGCAUCCACUGCCGCGUCUUCACCGGCUCCGUGUCGUCCCCUUCCUAGGCCUCGCCGUCGUCCACCGCCCUGGUGCUCUCGGCGCGGCGUGGUCAACAUGGUCAAGGAACGACUUCCAUCGGACGUGGACUGUAUGUGGAGAGGCUGACAGCUGGGUCCACGGCGGCAGCAAGGAAGUGCCACCUUAUUACGCGAAAAAUAAUGAUUCCUCCACUUGACAGCAGGGACCCACCGGAUGGGCCACCGUAUUUCGCGAAAAAAAAACGUUUCCCCCCUGACUGCUGGGACCCACUAGCUACACCUUCGCACACAAGGAAGUGCCUGACAGUCGGGACCCACCUAGUCGAAGCGUACGUAGCGUUGUCAUUCUGGUCACGAACAUGUACGUACAUAUAUACUGGUGGAUGUAGAGGCGCGCACAUGUCGUAGUAGAGGCGCGCACGUUUCGUAGUAGAGGCGCGCACGUAGCAUGUACAUGUACGUACAACGGCCAGGGUUCAAGAAAGAAAAUACGGCCACGUAUGUGUACAUACGGGCGGGGUCUCGAACGCCUACUCGCGCAUACGUACGGCGAGGGCUCGUGUACAUGGCUGGGUCGGAACAGAGAAACAGCGUCAUCGUCGUGUUCAUGGGUCGGAACGGAAUGCGUGGUCGUGUUCAUCGGGAGGGCUUGGACGGAAGAGGCGAUGGAAACGAGGCCUAGCGUACCGCACAACGGAGGAAACAGACCUCCUACGGUCGAAACGGGGGUCCUGUUGAUCGAGAGGGGUGUGGCAUACCGCAAAACGGAGGAAACGGACCUCCUACGGUGGAAACGGGGGUCCUCUUGAUCGGGAGGGGUGUGGCGUAGCGCAAAAUGGAGGAAGCGGACCUCCUACGGUCGAAACGGGGGUCCUGUUGAUCGGGAGGGGUGUGGCAUACCGCAAAACGGAGGAAACGGACUUGUGUUGGAGCGCUACGGUCGAAACGGGGGUCCUAUUCAUCGGGAGGGGUGUGGCGUACCGCAAAACGGGACUCCACAGGAUACUGUUCAUCUCCACCGUCGACCCCCUCCAGCCUCCACGAGCUACUGUUCAUCCACCGUCGACCUCCUCCAGCCUCCACGGGCUCCUGUUCAUCCAGCCUCCACCGCGCGCUACUCCAUCGGCUACUGUUCAACCACCCCUCCACCGUCUAUUAUUCAUCCAACCCUCCGCACCACGGGGUCCUGUUCAACCACCCCUCCACGGGCACCCCUCCACCGUCUACUGUUCAUCAUGCCCUCCACACCACGGGGUCCUGUUCAUCCACCCCUCCACGGGCACCCCUCCACGGGCACCCCUCCACGGGCACCCCUCCACCAUCUACUGUUCAUCCAGCCCUCCACCACACCACGGGGUCUUGUUCAUCCAGAGGCAACACCACCACUCACUGUUCAUCCAACCCCCUUCCCUCGCAACGCUCACUGUUCAUCCCAUCGAUCGGCUUCAGUUAGCAGCAGUAGCCAAGGAAUCACUCGAUCGGGUUCAGUUAACAGCCAUCGAUCGAUCGCUCGGGUUCAGUAACGCGUAGCCUGCAGUGCAAUCGCUCGGGUUUAGUUAGAGCCCAACGCCUCGCUCGGGUUCAGUUAGAGCCAACGCCUCGCACACAUACGCGUACGUGUACGAGACAAACGCGCAUCGCUCAGCCCCCGACCUCCCACCGUAACCGAGAACUCCCCGAAAUUUUCCUCCCCCUCGCUUCUACCAUGGUUUUUUCUGUCAUGGACGGCCCAAAGAAUGUCAUGCAGUUGCGUCUCUGGCCCGCCCGGGACGAAAAGCCCAUUUUCUGUCAUGAUUUUUUGUCAUAGAAGUAGGAGCCCACCACAUCUAUGAUGAUACCGGGUUUUGUCACAAUUAUCGUCAUAGAAGUGUCAUAUGUAUGACAGAAAAAAAAUUCGUUCGGCCCAAAAUGUCACGGAUGUGUCUUUUUUUUGUAGUGUAGGUUGCUAGUAGUGUUAAUUACCCCUUGUAGUUGAUGCUAGUUGGUUUAAUUGGUGGAAGAUCAUAUGUUCAGAUCCUAUAUGCAUAUUAAUACCCCUCUGAUUAUGAACAUGUUUAUGCUUUGUGAGUAGUUACUUUUGUUCCUGAGGACAUGGGAGAAGUGUUGCUAUUAGUAGUCAUCUGAAUUUGGUAUUCAUUCGAAAUUUUGAUGAGAUGUAUGUUGUCUCUCCUCUAGUGGUGUUAUGUGAACGUCGACUACAUGACACUUCACCAUUAUUUGGGCCUAGAGGAAGGCAUUGGGAAGUAAUAAGUAGAUGAUGGGUUGCUAGAGUGACAGAAGCUUAAACCCUAGUUUAUGUGUUGCUUCGUAAGGGGCUGAUUUGGAUCCAUAUGUUUCAUGCUAUGGUUAGGUUUACCUUAAUACUUUUGUUGUAUUUGUGGAUGCUUGCAAUAGAGGUUAAUCAUAAGUGGGAUGCUUAUCCAAGUAAGGGCAGCACCCGAGCACCGGUCCACCCACAUACCAAAUUAUCAAAGUACCAAACGCGAAUCAUAUGAACGUGAUGAAAACUAGCUUGACGAUAUUCCCAUGUGUCCUCGGGAGCGCUUUACAUCAUAUAAGAGUUUGUCCAGGCUUGUCCUUUGCAACAAAAGGAUUGGACCACCUUGAUGCACUUUAUUUACUUUUGUUACUUGUUGCUAGUUACAAAUUAUCCUAUCACAAAACUAUCUGUUACCACUUAUUUCAGUACUUGCAGAGAAUACCUUGCUGGAAACCGCUUAUCAUUUCCUUCUGCUCCUCGUUGGGUUCGACACUCUUACUUAUCGAAAGGACUACGAUAGAUCCCCUAUACUUGUGGGUCAUCAAGACUCUUUUCUGGUGCCGUUGCCGGGGAGUGAAGCGCCUUUGGUAGGUGGAAUUUGGUAAGGAAAAAUUUAUAUAGUGUGCUAAAAUUUACCGUCACUUGUUACCAUGGAAGGUAAUCCUCUAAGGGGCUUGUUCGAGGUAUCUUCACCCCGACCAGUUGAGCAAAGAGUUGCUCUUCAACCUACUGAAAAUGAAAAUGAAAAUGAAAAUUCUUGCUUUGAAGUUCCUUCAGGUAUGAUAGAAAAACUGCUAGCUAAUCCUUUUCUAGGAGAUGGAACAAAACAUCCUGAUGAACAUCUAAUAUAUGUGGAUCAAGUUUGUGGAUUAUUUAAGCUUGCAGGUGUACCCGGAGAUGUUGUUAAGAAGAAGGUCUUUCCCUUAUCUUUGAGGGGAGACGCAUCGACAUGGUAUAGGCUAUGUGAUGAUAUGAGGUCUUGGAAUUACAAACGAUUAAAAUUGGAAUUUCAUGAGAAGUUUUGUCCUAUGCAUCUUGUUCAUCGUGAUCGCAAUUAUAUAUAUAAUUUUUGGCCUCACGAAGGAGAAAGCAUCGCUCAAGCUUGGGGGAGGCUUAAGUCAAUGUUAUAUUCAUGCCCCAAUCAUGAGCUCUCAAGAGAAAUGAUUAUUCAAAAAAUUUAUGCUCGGCUUUCUGGUAACAAUCGCACCAUGCUUUGUGCUGGCUCUUUUAUGAUGAAGACUAUUGAAUUCAAAUGGGAUCUAUUGGAAAGAAUUAAAUGCAACUCUGAAGAUUGGGACCUCGACAAUGGUAAGGAGUCAGGUAUGACACCUAGUUUUGAUUGUGUUAAAUCUUUUAUGGAUACCGAUAUUUUUCAUAAAUUUAGCACUAAAUAUGGACUUGACUCUGAGAUAGUAGCUUCUUUCUGUGAAUCUUUUGCUACCUAUGUUGAUCUCCCCAAGGAGAAGUGGUUUAAAUAUCAUCCUCCCAUAGAAGUAAAAGUAGCUGCACCUAUUAAAGUUGAAGAAAAGACUAUCACUUAUAAUGAUCCUAUUGUUCCUACUUCUUAUGUUGAGAAACCACCUUUCCCUGUUAGGAUAAAGGAUCAUGCUAAAGCUUCAACUGUGGUUCGUAAAAGCAAUAUUAAAACAUAUACACCUCCUGAGCAAGUUAAAGUUGAACCUAAUAUUGCUAUUGUUAAAGAUCUCUUGUCUGAUAAUAUGAUGGGCAUGUUAUUUAUUUCUGUAAUGAAACUGCUAGAAUUGCUAAACCCCGUGAUAAAGAUAAACCUAGACCUGUAGUAGGCAUGCCUGUUAUUUCUGUUAAAAUAGGAGAUCAUUGUUAUCAUGGCUUAUGUGAUAUGGGUGCCAGUGUUAGUGCAAUACCUUAUUCCUUAUACAAAGAAGUUAUGCAUGAUAUUGCACCUGCUGAGAUGGAAGAUAUUGAUGUCACAAUUAAACUGGCCAAUAGAGAUACUAUUUCACCAAUGGGAAUUGUUAGAGAUGUUGAAGUCUUGUGUGGGAAAACUAAAUAUCCUGCUGAUUUUCUUGUUCUUGGUUCCCCACAAGAUAGCUUUUGUCCCAUUAUAUUUGGUAGACCCUUCUUAAAUAUUGUUAAUGCUACCAUAGAUUGCAAAAGAGAUGUUGUUACUAUCGGUUUAGAUGAUAUGACUCAUGAAUUUAAUUUCUCUAAAUUUAGUAGACAACUCCAUGAAGAAGAAUUACCUAGUAAGGAUGAAAUUAUUGGUCUUGCUUCUAUUGCCGUACCUCCUAGUGAUCCUUUAGAACAAUAUUUGCUAGACCAUGAAGAUGACAUGUUUAUGAAUGAAAGAAGGGAAUUAGAUGAAGUAUUCUUUAAACAGGAACCUAUGCUGAAAAACAAUUUACCUGUUGAAAUCCUAGGGGAUCCGCCCCCACCCAAGGGUGAUCCAGUGUUUGAGCUUAAACAUUUACCUGAUACUCUUAAAUAUGCUUAUCUUGGUGAGAAAAGGAUAUAUCCUAUUAUUAUUAGUGCUAACCUUUCAGAACAUGAGGAAGACAGAUUAUUGAAAACUCUGAAGAAGCACCGUGCUUCUAUUGGGUAUACUCUUGAUGAUCUUAAGGGCAUUAGUCCCACUCUAUGUCAACAUAAAAUUAAUUUGGAAGAAGAUGCCAAACUAGUUUGUGAUCAUCAACGCCGGCUGAAUCCUAAAAUGAAAGAAGUGGUAAGAAAAGAGAUACUAAAGCUCCUUGAGGCAGGUAUAAUUUAUCUCGUUGCUGAUAGUCAGUGGGUAAGCCCUGUCCAUUAUGUCCCUAAGAAGGGAGGUAUUACUGUGUUGGGUUUCGUAGUAAUUUCAAAAUUUUUCCUACGCGCACACAGAAUCAUGUGAUGCAUAGCAACGAGGGGAGAGUGUUGUCUACGUACCCAACGCAGACCGACUGCGGAAGCGAUGACACGACGUAGAGGAAGUAGUCGUACGUCUUCACGAUCCAACCGAUCAAGCACCGAAACUACGGCACCUCCGAGUUCGAGCACACGUUCAGCCCGAUGACGAUCCCCGGACUCCGAUCCAGCAAAGUGUUGGGGAAGAGUUUCGUCAGCAUGACGGCGUGGUGACGAUCUUGAUGAACUACAGCAGCAGGGCUUCGCCUAAACUCCGCUACAGUAUUAUCGAGGUAUAUGGUGGCAGGGGGCACCGCACACGGCUAAGGAAUCGAUCACGUGGAUCAACUUGUGUCAACUUGUGUGUUUAGAGGUGCCCCUGCCUCUGUAUAUAAAGGAGCCAAGGGGGGAGGGUGCGCCGGCCAGGAGGAGGAGGCGCAGGAGGAGUCCUACUCCUACCGGGAGUAGGACUCCCCUCCAAUCCUAUUCCAACUAGGAUUCCCAAGGGGGAAAGAGGGAGAGGGGUGGCCGGCCACCUCUCCUAGUCCUAAUAGGACUAGGGGAAGGGGGGAGGCGCGCAGCCCCCUUGGGCUGCCCCUUUCUCCUUUCCACUAAGGCCCAUGAAGGCCCAUGUGGUUCCCGGGGGGUUCCGGUAACCUCCCGGUAACCCGGUAAAAUCCCGAUUUCACCCGGAACACUUCCGAUGUCCAAACAUAGGCUUCCAAUAUAUCAAUCUUUAUGUCUCGACCAUUUCGAGACUCCUCGUCAUGUCCGUGAUCACAUCCGGGACUCCGAACAACCUUCGGUACAUCAAAAUGCAUAAACUCAUAAUAUAACUGUCAUCGUAACCUUAAGCGUGCGGACCCUACGGGUUCGAGAACAAUGAAGACAUGACCGAGACAUGUCUCUGGUCAAUAACCAAUAGCGGGACCUGGAUGCCCAUAUUGGCUCCUACAUAUUCUAUGAAGAUCUUUAUCGGUCAGACCGCAUAACAACAUACGUUGUUCCCUUUGUCAUCGGUAUGUUACUUGCCCGAGAUUCGAUCGUCGGUAUCCAAUACCUAGUUCAAUCUCGUUACCGGCAAGUCUCUUUACUCGUUCCGUAAUACAUCAUCUCACAACUAACAUAUUAGUUGUAAUGCUUGCAAGGCUUAUGUGAUGUGUAUUACCGAGAGGGCCCAGAGAUACCUCUCCGACAAUCGGAGUGACAAAUCCUAAUCUCGAAAUACGCCAACCCAACAUCGACCAUUGGAGACACCUGUAGUACUCCUUUAUAAUCACCCAGUUACGUUGUGACGUUUGGUAGUACCCAAAGUGUUCCUCCGGUAAACGGGAGUUGCAUAAUCUCAUAGUCAUAGGAACAUGUAUAAGUCAUGAAGAAAGCAAUAGCAACAUACUAAACGAUCGGGUGCUAAGCUAAUGGAAUGGGUCAUGUCAAUCAGAUCAUUCUACUAAUGAUGUGACCUCGUUAAUUAAAUAACAACUCAUUGUUCAUGGUUAGGAAACUUAACCAUCUUUGAUUAACGAGCUAGUCAAGUAGAGGCAUACUAGUGACACUCUGUUUGUCUAUGUAUUCACACAUGUAUUAUGUUUCCGGUAAAUACAAUUCUAGCAUGAAUAAUAAACAUUUAUCAUGAUUAUAAGGAAAUAAAUAAUAACUUUAUUAUUGCCUCUAGGGCAUAUUUCCUUCAGUCUCCCACUUGCACUAGAGUCAAUAAUCUAGAUUACACUGUAAUGAAUCUUACACCCAUGGAGCUUUGGUGCUGAUCAUGUUUUGCUCGUGGAAGAGGCUUAGUCAACGGAUCUGCAACAUUCAGAUCCGUAUGUAUCUUGCAAAUCUCUAUGUCUCCCACCUGGACUAGAUCCCGGAUGGAGUUGAAGCGUCUCUUGAUGUGUUUGGUCCUUUUGUGAAAUCUGGAUUCCUUUGCCAAGGCAAUUGCACCAGUAUUGUCACAAAAGAUUUUCAUUGGACCCGAUGCACUAGGUAUGACACCUAGAUCGGAUAUGAACUCCUUCAUCCAGACUCCUUCAUUUGCUGCUUCCGAAGCAGCUAUGUAUUCCGCUUCACAUGUAGAUCCCGCUACAACGCUUUGUUUAGAACUGCACCAACUGACAGCUCCACCGUUUAAUGUAAACACGUAUCCGGUUUGCGAUUUAGAAUCGUCCGGAUCAGUGUCAAAGCUUGCAUCAACGUAACCUUUUACGGUGAGCUCUUUGUCACCUCCAUAUACGAGAAACAUAUCCUUAGUCCUUUUCAGGUAUUUUAGGAUGUUCUUGUUAGGUUUCGUAGUAAUUUCAAAAAUUUUCCUACGCGCACACAGGAUCAUGUGAUGCAUAGCAACGAGAGGAGAGUGUUGUCUACGUACCCAACGCAGACCGACUGCGGAAGCGAUGACACGACGUAGAGGAAGUAGUCGUACGUCUUCACGAUCCAACCGAUCAAGCACCGAAACUACGGCACCUCCGAGUUCGAGCACACGUUCAGCUCGAUGACGAUCCCCGGACUCCGAUCCAGCAAAGUGUCGGGGAAGAGUUUCGUCAGCACGACGGCGUGGUGACGAUCUUGAUGAACUACAGCAGCAGGGCUUCGCCUAAACUCCGCUACAGUAUUAUCGAGGAAUAUGGUGGCAGGGGGCACCGCACACGGCUAAGGAAUCGAUCACGUGGAUCAACUUGUGUCAACUUGUGUGUUUAGAGGUGCCCCUGCCUCCGUAUAUAAAGGAGGAGAGGAGGGGAGGCUCGCCGGCCAAAGAGGGAGGCGCAGGAGAGUCCUACUCCCUCUGGGAGUAGGAUUCCUCCCCCCAAUCCUAGUCCAACUAGGAUUCCUCGGAGGGGAAGGGAGAGAGGGGGGCCGGCCACCUUCUCCUAGUCCUAAUAGGACUAGGGGAGGGGAAAGAGGCGCAGCCACCUUGGGCUGCCCCUUUCUCCUUUCCACUAAGGCCCAUGAUGGCCCAUAUGGCUCCCGGGGGGUUCCGGUAACCUCCCGGUAACCCGGUAAAAUCCCGAUUUCACCCGGAACACUUCCGAUGUCCAAACAUAGGCUUCCAAUAUAUCAAUCUUUACGUCUCGACCAUUUCAAGACUCCUCGUCAUGUCCGUGAUCACAUCCGGGACUCCGAACAACCUUCGGUACAUCAAAAUGCAUAAACUCAUAAUAUAACUGUCAUCGUAACCUUAAGCGUGCGGACCCUACGGGUUCGAGAACAAUGUAGACAUGACCGAGACAUGUCUCUGGUCAAUAACCAAUAGCGGGACCUGGAUGCCCAUAUUGGCUCCUACAUAUUCUACGAAGAUCUUUAUCGGUCAGACCGCAUAACAACAUACGUUGUUCCCUUUGUCAUCGGUAUGUUACUUGCCCGAGAUUCGAUCGUCGGUAUCCAAUACCUAGUUCAAUCUCGUUACCGGCAAGUCUCUUUACUCGUUCCGUAAUACAUCAUCUCACAACUAACAUAUUAGUUGUAAUGCUUGCAAGGCUUAUGUGAUGUGUAUUACCGAGAGGGCCCAAAGAUACCUCUCCGACAAUCGGAGUGACAAAUCCCAAUCUCGAAAUACGCCAACCCAACAUCGACCAUUGGAGACACCUGUAGUACUCCUUUAUAAUCACCCAGUUACAUUGUGACGUUUGGUAGUACCCAAAGUGUUCCUCCGGUAAACGGGAGUUGCAUAAUCUCAUAGUCAUAGGAACAUGUAUAAGUCAUGAAGAAAGCAAUAGCAACAUACUAAACGAUCGGGUGCUAAGCUAAUGGAAUGGGUCAUGUCAAUCAGAUCAUUCUACUAAUGAUGUGACCUCGUUAAUCAAAUAACAACUCUUCGUUCAUGGUUAGGAAACAUAACCAUCUUUGAUUAACGAGCUAGUCAAGUAGAGGCAUACUAGUGACACUAUGUUUGUCUAUGUAUUCACACAUGUAUUAUGUUUCCGGUAAAUACAAUUCUAGCAUGAAUAAUAAACAUUUAUCAUGAUUAUAAGGAAAUAAAUAAUAACUUUAUUAUUGCCUCUAGGGCAUAUUUCCUUCAGUCUCCCACUUGCACUAGAGUCAAUAAUCUAGAUUACACUGUAAUGAUUCUAACACCCAUGGAGCCUUGGUGCUGAUCAUGUUUUGCUCGUGGAAGAGGCUUAGUCAACGGGUCUGCAACAUUCAGAUCCGUAUGUAUCUUGCAAAUCUCUAUGUCUCCCACCUGGACUAGAUCCCGGAUGGAGUUGAAGCGUCUCUUGAUGUGUUUGGUCCUUUUGUGAAAUCUGGAUUCCUUUGCCAAGGCAAUUGCACCAGUAUUGUCACAAAAGAUUUUCAUUGGACCCGAUGCACUAGGUAUGACACCUAGAUCGGAUAUGAACUCCUUCAUCCAGACUCCUUCAUUUGCUGCUUCCGAAGCAGCUAUGUAUUCCGCUUCACAUGUAGAUCCUGCUACGACGCUUUGUUUAGAACUGCACCAACUGACAGCUCCACCGUUUAAUGUAAACACGUAUCCGGUUUGCGAUUUAGAAUCGUCCGGAUCAGUGUCAAAGCUUGCAUCAACGUAACCUUUUACGAUGAGCUCUUUGUCACUUCCAUAUACGAGAAACAUAUCCUUAGUCCUUUUCAGGUAUUUCAGGAUGUUCUUGACCGCUGUCCAGUGAUCCAUUCCUGGAUUACUUUGGUACCUCCCUGCUAAACUUAUAGCAAGGCACACAUCAGGUCUGGUACACAGCAUUGCAUACAUGAUAGAGCCUAUGGCUGAUGCAUAGGGAACAUCUUUCAUAUUCUCUCUAUCUUUUGCAGUGGUCGGGCAUUGAGUCUUACUCAAUUUCACACCUUGUAACACAGGCAAGAACCCUUUCUUUGCUUGAUCCAUUUUGAACUUCUUCAAAAUUUUGUCAAGGUAUGUGCUUUGUGAAAGUCCAAUUAAGCGUCUUGAUCUAUCUCUAUAGAUCUUAAUGCCUAAUAUGUAAGCAGCUUCACCGAGGUCUUUCAUUGAAAAACUUUUAUUCAAGUAUCCCUUUAUGCUAUCCAGAAAUUCUAUAUCAUUUCCAAUCAGUAAUAUGUCAUCCACAUAUAAUAUCAGAAAUGCUACAGAGCUCCCACUCACUUUCUUGUAAAUACAGGCUUCUCCGAAAGUCUGUAUAAAACCAAAUGCUUUGAUCACACUAUCAAAACGUUUAUUCCAACUCCGAGAGGCUUGCACCAGUCCAUAAAUGGAUCGCUGGAGCUUGCACACUUUGUUAGCUUCCUUUGGAUCGACAAAACCUUCUGGUUGCAUCAUAUACAACUCUUCUUCCAGGAUUCCAUUCAGGAAUGCAGUUUUGACAUCCAUUUGCCAAAUUUCAUAAUCAUAAAAUGCGGCAAUUGCUAACAUGAUUCGGACGGACUUAAGCAUCGCUACGGGUGAGAAGGUCUCAUCGUAGUCAAUUCCUUGAACUUGUCGAAAACCUUUUGCGACAAGUCGAGCUUUGUAGACAGUAACAUUACCAUCAGCGUCAGUCUUCUUCUUAAAGAUCCAUUUAUUCUCAAUUGCUUGCCGAUCAUCGGGCAAGUCAACCAAAGUCCAUACUUUGUUCUCAUACAUGGAUCCCAUCUCAGAUUUCAUGGCUUCAAGCCACUUUGCGGAAUCUGGGCUCACCAUCGCUUCUUCAUAGUUCGUAGGUUCAUCAUGAUCUAGUAGCAUGACUUCCAGAACAGGAUUUCCGUACCACUCUGGCGCGGAUCUUACUCUGGUUGAUCUAUGUGGUUCAGUAGUAUCUUGAUCUGAAGUUUCAUGAUCAUUAUCAUUGGCUUCCUCACUAACCGGUGUAGGUGUCACUGAAACAGUUUUCUGUGAUGAACUACUCUCCAGUAAGGGAGCAGGUACAGUUACCUCGUCAAGUUCUACUUUCCUCCCACUCACUUCUUUCGAGAGAAACUCCUUCUCUAGAAAUGAUCCAUUCUUAGCAACGAAUGUUUUGCCUUCGGAUCUGUGAUAGAAGGUGUACCCAACAGUUUCCUUUGGGUAUCCUAUGAAUACACAUUUCUCCGAUUUGGGUUCGAGCUUAUCAGGUUUGAAGCUUUUUCACAUAAGCAUCGCAGCCCCAAACUUUAAGAAACGACAACUUUGGUUUCUUGCCAAACCAUAGUUCAUAAGGCUCGUCUCAACGGAUUUUGAUGGUGCCCUAUUUAACGUGAAUGCGGCUGUCUCUAAAGCAUAACCCCAAAAUGAUAGCGGUAAAUCUGUAAGAGACAUCAUAGAUCGCACCAUAUCUAGUAAAGUACGAUUACGACGUUCGGACACACCAUUGCGCUGUGGUGUUCCGGGUGGCGUGAGUUGUGAAACUAUUCCACAGUUUUUCAAAUGUACACCAAACUCGUAACUCAAAUAUUCUCCUCCACGAUCAGAUCGUAGAAACUUUAUUUUCUUGUUACGAUGAUUUUCAACUUCACUCUGAAAUUCUUUGAACUUUUCAAAUGUUUCAGACUUAUGCUUCAUUAAGUAGAUAUAUCCAUAUCUGCUCAAAUCAUCUGUGAAGGUGAGAAAAUAACGAUAUCCGCCACGAGCCUCAAUAUUCAUCGGACCACAUACAUCGGUAUGUAUGAUUUCCAACAAAUCUGUUGCUCUCUCCAUAGUACCGGAGAACGGUGUUUUAGUCAUCUUGCCCAAGAGGCACGGUUCGCAAGUACCAAGUGAUUCAUAAUCAAGUGGUUCCAAAAGUCCAUUAGUAUGGAGUUUCUUCAUGCGUUUUACACCGAUAUGACCUAAACGACAGUGCCACAAAUAAGUUGCACUUUCAUUAUCAACUCUGUAUCUUUUGGUUUCAACAUUAUGAAUAUGUGUAUUACUACUAUCGAGAUUCAGUAAGAAUAGACCACUCUUCAAGGGUGCAUGACCAUAAAAGAUAUUACUCAUAUAAAUAGAACAACCAUUAUUUUCUGAUUUAAAUGAAUAACCGUCUCGCAUUAAACAAGAUCCAGAUAUAAUGUUCAUGCUCAACGCUGGCACCAAAUAACAAUUAUUUAGGUCUAAUAUUAAUCCCGAAGGUAGAUGUAGAGGUAGCGUGCCGACCGCGAUCACAUCGACUUUGGAACCGUUUCCCACGCGCAUCGUCACCUCGUCCUUUGCCAGUGCCCGCUUAUUCUGUAGUCCCUGUUUCGAGUUGCAAAUAUUAGCAACAGAACCAGUAUCAAAUACCCAGGUGCUACUGCGAGCUCUAGUAAGGUACACAUCAAUAACAUGUAUAUCAUAUAUACCUUUGUUCACCUUGCCAUCUUUCUUAUCCGCCAAAUACUUGGGGCAGUUCCGCUUCCAGUGACCAGUCUGCUUGCAGUAGAAGCACUCAGUUUCAGGCUUAGGUCUAGACUUGGGUUUCUUAUCGAGCAGCAACUUGCUUGCUGUUCUUCUUGAAGUUCCCUUUCUUCUUUCCUUUGCCCUUUUUCUUGAAACUAGUGGUUUUGUUAACCAUCAACACUUGAUGCUCCUUUUUGAUUUCUACCUCCGCAGCUUUCAGCAUUGCGAAGAGCUCGGGAAUAGUCUUGUUCAUCCCUUGCAUAUUAUAGUUCAUCACGAAGCUCUUGUAGCUUGGUGGCAGUGAUUGGAGAAUUCUGUCGAUGACGCAAUCAUCCGGAAGAUUAACUCCCAAUUGAAUCAAGUGAUUAUUAUACCCAGACAUUUUGAGUAUAUGCUCACUGACAGAACUGUUCUCCUCCAUCUUGCAGCUAUAGAACUUAUUGGAGACUUCAUAUCUCUCAAUCCGGGCAUUUGCUUGAAAUAUUAACUUCAACUCCUGGAACAUCUCAUAUGCUCCAUGACGUUCAAAACGUCGUUGAAGUCCCGAUUCUAAGCCGUAAAGCAUGGCACACUGAACUAUCGAGUAGUCAUCAGCUUUGCUCUGCCAGACAUUCAUAACAUCUGGCGUUGCUCCAGCAGCAGGCCUGGCACCCAGCGGUGCUUCCAGGACGUAAUUCUUCUGUGCAGCAAUAAGGAUAAUCCUCAAGUUACGGACCCAGUCCGUGUAAUUGCUACCAUCAUCUUUCAACUUUGCUUUCUCAAGGAACGCAUUAAAAUUUAACGGAACAACAGCACGAGCCAUCUAUCUACAAUCAACAUAAACAAGCAAGAUACUAUCAGGGACUAAGUUCAUGAUAAAUUUUAAGUUCAAUUAAUCAUAUUACAAAAGAACUCCCACUUAGAUAGACAUCUCUCUAAUCCUCUAAGUGAUCACGUGAUCCAAAUCAACUAAACCAUAACCGAUCAUCACGUGAGAUGGAGUAGUUUUCAAUGGUGAACAUCGUUAUGUUGAUCAUAUCUACUAUAUGAUUCACGCUCGACCUUUCGGUCUCCGUGUUCCGAGGCCAUAUCUGCAUAUGCUAGGCUCGUCAAGUUUAACCUGAGUAUUCUGCGUGUGCAAAACUGGCUUGCACCCGUUGUAGAUGGACAUAGAGCUUAUCACACCCGAUCAUCACGUGGUGUCUGGGCACGACGAACUUUGGCAACGGUGCAUACUCAGGGAGAACACUUCUUGAUAAUUUAGUGAGAGAUCAUCUUAUAAUGCUACCGUCAAUCAAAGCAAGAUAAGAUGCAUAAAAAGAUAAACAUCACAUGCAAUCAAUAUAAGUGAUAUGAUAUGGCCAUCAUCAUCUCGUGCUUGAUCUCCAUCUCCGAAGCACCGUCAUGAUCACCAUCAUCACCGGCGCGACACCUUGAUCUCCAUCGUAGCAUCGUUGUCGUCUCGCCAAUCUUAUGCUUCCACGACUAUCACUACCGUUUAGUAAUAAAGUAAAGCAUUACAUCGCGAUUGCAUUGCAUACAAUAAAGCGACAACCAUAUGGCUCCUGCCAGUUGCCGAUAACUCGGUUACAAAACAUGAUCAUCUCAUACAAUAAAAUUCAGCAUCAUGCUUUGACCAUAUCACAUCACAACAUGCCCUGCAAAAACAAGUUAGACGUCCUCUACUUUGUUGUUGCAUGUUUUACGUGGCUGCUACGGGCUUAAGUAAGAACCAAUCUCACCUACGCAUCAAAACCACAACGAUAGUUUGUCAAAUAGACUCCGUUUUAACCUUCUCAAGGACCGGGCGUAGCCAUACUUGGUUCAACUAAAGUUGGAGAGGCAGUCGCCCGCAAGCCAUCUCUGUGCAAAGCACGUCGAGGGAACCGGUCUCGCGUAAGCGUACGCGUAAGGUUGGUCCGGGUCGUCUCGUCCAACAAUACCGCCGAACCAAAAUAUGACAUGCUGGUAGGCAGUAUGACUUGUAUCGUCCACAACUCACUUGUGUUCUACUCGUGCAUAUAACAUCAACAUCAAUAACCUAGGCUCUGAUACCACUGUUGGGUUUCGUAGUAAUUUCAAAAAAUUUCCUACGCGCACACAGAAUCAUGUGAUGCAUAGCAACGAGGGGAGAGUGUUGUCUACGUACCCAACGCAGACCGACUGCGGAAGCGAUGACACGACGUAGAGGAAGUAGUCGUACGUCUUCACGAUCCAACCGAUCAAGCACCGAAACUACGGCACCUCCGAGUUCGAGCACACGUUCAGCCCGAUGACGAUCCCCGGACUCCGAUCCAGCAAAGUGUCGGGGAAGAGUUUCGUCAGCACGACGGCAUGGUGACGAUCUUGAUGAACUACAGCAGCAGGGCUUCGCCUAAACUCCGCUACAGUAUUAUCGAGGUAUAUGGUGGCAGGGGGCACCGCACACGGCUAAGGAAUCGAUCACGUGGAUCAACUUGUGUCAACUUGUGUGUUUAGAGGUUCCCCUGCCUCUGUAUAUAAAGGAGCCAAGGGGGGAGGGUGCGCCGGCCAGGAGGAGGAGGCGCAGGAGGAGUCCUACUCCUACCGGGAGUAGGACUCCCCUCCAAUCCUAUUCCAACUAGGAUUCCCAAGGGGGAAAGAGGGAGAGGGGUGGCCGGCCACCUCUCCUAGUCCUAAUAGGACUAGGGGAAGGGGGGAGGCGCGCAGCCCCCUUGGGCUGCCCCUUUCUCCUUUCCACUAAGGCCCAUGAAGGCCCAUGUGGUUCCCGGGGGGUUCCGGUAACCUCCCGGUAACCCGGUAAAAUCCCGAUUUCACCCGGAACACUUCCGAUGUCCAAACAUAGGCUUCCAAUAUAUCAAUCUUUAUGUCUCGACCAUUUCGAGACUCCUCGUCAUGUCCGUGAUCACAUCCGGGACUCCGAACAACCUUCGGUACAUCAAAAUGCAUAAACUCAUAAUAUAACUGUCAUCGUAACCUUAAGCGUGCGGACCCUACGGGUUCGAGAACAAUGAAGACAUGACCGAGACAUGUCUCUGGUCAAUAACCAAUAGCGGGACCUGGAUGCCCAUAUUGGCUCCUACAUAUUCUAUGAAGAUCUUUAUCGGUCAGACCGCAUAACAACAUACGUUGUUCCCUUUGUCAUCGGUAUGUUACUUGCCCGAGAUUCGAUCGUCGGUAUCCAAUACCUAGUUCAAUCUCGUUACCGGCAAGUCUCUUUACUCGUUCCGUAAUACAUCAUCUCACAACUAACAUAUUAGUUGUAAUGCUUGCAAGGCUUAUGUGAUGUGUAUUACCGAGAGGGCCCAGAGAUACCUCUCCGACAAUCGGAGUGACAAAUCCUAAUCUCGAAAUACGCCAACCCAACAUCGACCAUUGGAGACACCUGUAGUACUCCUUUAUAAUCACCCAGUUACGUUGUGACGUUUGGUAGUACCCAAAGUGUUCCUCCGGUAAACGGGAGUUGCAUAAUCUCAUAGUCAUAGGAACAUGUAUAAGUCAUGAAGAAAGCAAUAGCAACAUACUAAACGAUCGGGUGCUAAGCUAAUGGAAUGGGUCAUGUCAAUCAGAUCAUUCUGCUAAUGAUGUGACCUCGUUAAUCAAAUAACAACUCUUUGUUCAUGGUUAGGAAACAUAACCAUCUUUGAUUAACGAGCUAGUCAAGUAGAGGCAUACUAGUGACACUUUGUUUGUCUAUGUAUUCACACAUGUAUUAUGUUACCGGUAAAUACAAUUCUAGCAUGAAUAAUAAACAUUUAUCAUGAUUAUAAGGAAAUAAAUAAUAACUUUAUUAUUGCCUCUAGGGCAUAUUUCCUUCAGUCUCCCACUUGCACUAGAGUCAAUAAUUUAGAUUACACUGUAAUGAUUCUAACACCCAUGGAGCCUUGGUGCUGAUCAUGUUUUGCUCGUGGAAGAGGCUUAGUCAAUGGGUCUGCAACAUUCAGAUCCGUAUGUAUCUUGCAAAUCUCUAUGUCUCCCACCUGGACUAGAUCCCGGAUGGAGUUGAAGCGUCUCUUGAUGUGUUUGGUCCUUUUGUGAAAUCUGGAUUCCUUUGCCAAGGCAAUUGCACCAGUAUUGUCACAAAAGAUUUUCAUUGGACCCGAUGCACUAGGUAUGACACCUAGAUCGGAUAUGAACUCCUUCAUCCAGACUCCUUCAUUUGCUGCUUCCGAAGCAGCUAUGUAUUCCGCUUCACAUGUAGAUCCCGCUACGACGCUUUGUUUAGAACUGCACCAACUGACAGCUCCACCGUUUAAUGUAAACACGUAUCCGGUUUGCGAUUUAGAAUCGUCCGGAUCAGUGUAAAAGCUUGCAUCAACGUAACCUUUUACGAUGAGCUCUUUGUCACUUCCAUAUACGAGAAACAUAUCCUUAGUCCUUUUCAGGUAUUUCAGGAUGUUCUUGACCGCUGUCCAGUGAUCCAUUCCUGGAUUACUUUGGUACCUCCCUGCUAAACUUAUAGCAAGGCACACAUCAGGUCUGGUACACAGCAUUGCAUACAUGAUAGAGCCUAUGGCUGAUGCAUAGGGAACAUCUUUCAUAUUCUCUCUAUCUUCUGCAGUGGUCGGGCAUUGAGUCUUACUCAAUUUCACACCUUGUAACACAGGCAAGAACCCUUUCUUUGCUUGAUCCAUUUUGAACUUCUUCAAAAUUUUGUCAAGGUAUGUGCUUUGUGAAAGUCCAAUUAAGCGUCUUGAUCUAUCUCUAUAGAUCUUAAUGCCUAAUAUGUAAGCAGCUUCACCGAGGUCUUUCAUUGAAAAACUUUUAUUCAAGUAUCCCUUUAUGCUAUCCAGAAAUUCUAUAUCAUUUCCAAUCCACAUAUAAUAUCAGAAAUGCUACAGAGCUCCCACUCACUUUCUUGUAAAUACAGGCUUCUCCGAAAGUCUGUAUAAAACCAAAUGCUUUGAUCACACUAUCAAAACGUUUAUUCCAACUCCGAGAGGCUUGCACCAGUCCAUAAAUGGAUCGCUGGAGCUUGCACACUUUGUUAGCUCCCUUUGGAUCGACAAAACCUUCUGGUUGCAUCAUAUACAACUCUUCUUCCAGGAAUCCAUUCAGGAAUGCAGUUUUGACAUCCAUUUGCCAAAUUUCAUAAUCAUAAAAUGCGGCAAUUGCUAACAUGAUUCGGACGGACUUAAGCAUCGCUACGGGUGAGAAGGUCUCAUCGUAGUCAAUUCCUUGAACUUGUCGAAAACCUUUUGCGACAAGUCGAGCUUUGUAGACAGUAACAUUACCAUCAGCGUCAGUCUUCUUCUUAAAGAUCCAUUUAUUCUCAAUUGCUUGCCGAUCAUCGGGCAAGUCAACCAAAGUCCAUACUUUGUUCUCAUACAUGGAUCCCAUCUCAGAUUUCAUGGCUUCUAGCCACUUUGCGGAAUCUGGGCUCACCAUCGCUUCUUCAUAGUUCGUAGGUUCAUCAUGAUCUAGUAGCAUGACUUCCAGAACAGGAUUUCCGUACCACUCUGGCGCGGAUCUUACUCUGGUUGAUCUACGUGGUUCAGUAGUAUCUUGAUCUGAAGUUUCAUGAUCAUUAUCAUUGGCUUCCUCACUAACCGGUGUAGGUGUCACUGAAACAGUUUUCUGUGAUGAACUACUUUCCAGUAAGGGAGCAGGUACAGUUACCUCGUCAAGUUCUACUUUCCUCCCACUCACUUCUUUCGAGAGAAACUCCUUCUCUAGAAAUGAUCCAUUCUUAGCAACGAAUGUUUUGCCUUCGGAUCUGUGAUAGAAGGUGUACCCAACAGUUUCCUUUGGGUAUCCUAUGAAGACACAUUUCUCCGAUUUGGGUUCGAGCUUAUCAGUUUGAAGUUUUUUCACAUAAGCAUCGCAGCCCCAAACUUUAAGAAACGACAACUUUGGUUUCUUGCCAAACCACAGUUCAUAAGGCGUCGUGGCAGGGGGCAGGGGGCACCGCACACGGCUAAGGAAUUGAUCACGUGGAUCAACUUGUGUCAACUUGUGUGUUUAGAGGUGCCCCUGCCUCAGUAUAUAAAGGAGCCAAGGGGGGAGGGUGCGCCGGCCAGGAGGAGGAGGCGCAGGAGGAGUCCUACUCCUACCGGGAGUAGGACUCCCCUCCAAUCCUAUUCCAAUUAGGAUUCCCAAGGGGGAAAGAGGGAGAGGGGUGGCCGGCCACCUCUCCUAGUCCUAAUAGGACUAGGGGAAGGGGGGAGGCGCGCAGCCCCCUUGGGCUGCCCUUUUCUCCUUUCCACUAAGGCCCAUGAAGGCCCAUGUGGUUCCCGGGGGGUUCCGGUAACCUCCCGGUAACCCGGUAAAAUCCCGAUUUCACCCGGAACACUUCCGAUGUCCAAACAUAGGCUUCCAAUAUAUCAAUCUUUAUGUCUCGACCAUUUCGAGACUCCUCGUCAUGUCCGUGAUCACAUCCGGGACUCCGAACAACCUUCGGUACAUCAAAAUGCAUAAACUCAUAAUAUAACUGUCAUCGUAACCUUAAGCGUGCGGACCCUACGGGUUCGAGAACAAUGUAGACAUGACCGAGACAUGUCUCUGGUCAAUAACCAAUAGCGGGACCUGGAUGCCCAUAUUGGCUCCUACAUAUUCUACGAAGAUAUUUAUCGGUCAGACCGCAUAACAACAUACGUUGUUCCCUUUGUCAUCGGUAUGUUACUUGCCCGAGAUUCGAUCGUCGGUAUCCAAUACCUAGUUCAAUCUCGUUACCGGCAAGUCUCUUUACUCGUUCCGUAAUACAUCAUCUCACAACUAACAUAUUAGUUGUAAUGCUUGCAAGGCUUAUGUGAUGUGUAUUACCGAGAGGGCCCAGAGAUACCUCUCCGACAAUCGGAGUGACAAAUCCUAAUCUCGAAAUACGCCAACCCAACAUCGACCAUUGGAGACACCUGUAGUACUCCUUUAUAAUCACCCAGUUACGUUGUGACGUUUGGUAGUACCCAAAGUGUUCCUCCGGUAAACGGGAGUUGCAUAAUCUCAUAGUCAUAGGAACAUGUAUAAGUCAUGAAGAAAGCAAUAGCAACAUACUAAACGAUCGGGUGCUAAGCUAAUGGAAUGGGUCAUGUCAAUCAGAUCAUUCUACUAAUGAUGUGACCUCGUUAAUCAAAUAACAACUCUUUGUUCAUGGUUAGGAAACAUAACCAUCUUUGAUUAACGAGCUAGUCAAGUAGAGGCAUAGUAGUGACACUAUGUUUGUCUAUGUAUUCACACAUGUAUUAUGUUUCCGGUAAAUACAAUUCUAGCAUGAAUAAUAAACAUUUAUCAUGAUUAUAAGGAAAUAAAUAAUAACUUUAUUAUUGCCUCUAGGGCAUAUUUCCUUCAUAGUGUUGUUCCUAAUGAUAAAGAUGAAUUGAUUCCUCAAAGAAUUGUUACAGGUUAUAGGAUGGUAAUUGAUUUCCGCAAAUUAAAUAAGGCUACUAAAAAAGAUCAUUACCCCUUACCUUUUAUCGAUCAAAUGCUAGAAAUAUUAACUAAACAUACACAUUUUUUAUUUCUAGAUGGUUAUUCUGGUUUCUCUUAAAUACCUGUGUCAGCCAAAGAUCAAUCAAAGACUACUUUUACAUGCCCUUUUGGUACUUUUUCUUAUAGACGUAUGCCUUUUGGUAUAUGUAAUGCACCUGCUACCUUUCAAAGAUGCAUGAUGGCUAUAUUCUCUGACUUUUGUGAAAAGAUUUGUGAGGUUUUCAUGGACGACUUUUUCGUCUAUGGAUCUUCUUUUGAUGACUGCUUGAGCAACCUUGAUCGAGUUUUGCAGAGAUGUGAAGAAACUAAUCUUGUCUUAAAUUGGGAAAAGUGCCACUUUAUGGUUAAUGAAGGUAUUGUAUUGGGGCAUAAAGUUUCUGAAAGAGGUAUUGAAGUUGAUAAAGCCAAGGUUGAUGCUAUUGAAAAGAUGCCAUGUCCCAAGGACAUUAAAGGUAUAAGAAGUUUCCUUGGUCAUGCCGGUUUUUAUAGGAGGUUUAUUAAGGACUUCUCAAAAAUCUCUCGGCCUCUAACUAAUUUAUUACAAAAAGAUAUACCAUUUGUCUUUGAUGAUGAUUGUGUAGAAGCAUUUGAAAUACUUAAGAAAGCAUUGAUUUCUGCACCUAUUGUUCAGCCACCUGAUUGGAAUUUACCCUUUGAAAUUAUGUGUGAUGCUAGUGAUUAUGCUGUAGGUGUUGUUCUAGGACAAAGAGUUGAUAAGAAACUGAAUGUUAUUCAAUAUGCUAGUAAAACUCUAGACAAUGCUCAAAGAAAUUAUGCUACUACUGAAAAAGAAUUCUUAGCAGUUGUAUUUGUUUGUGAUAAGUUCAGACCUUAUAUUGUUGAUUCUAAAGUAACUAUUCACACUGAUCAUGCUGCUAUUAAAUAUCUUAUGGAAAAGAAAGAUGCUAAACCUAGACUUAUUAGAUGGGUUCUCUUACUACAAGAAUUUGAUUUGCAUAUUGUUGAUAGAAAAGGAGCUGAGAACCCCGUUGCAGAUAACUUGUCUAGGUUAGAAAAUGUGCUUGAUGACCCACUACCUAUUGAUGAUAGCUUCCCUGAUGAGCAAUUAAAUGUCAUAAAUGCCUCUCAUACUGCUCCAUGGUAUGCUGAUUAUGCUAAUUACAUUGUUGCUAAGUUUAUACCACCUAAUUUCACAUACUAGCAAAAGAAAAAGUUCUUCUAUGAUUUGAGGCAUUACUUUUGGGAUGACCCACAUCUUUAUAAAUAAGGAGUAGAUGGUGUUAUUAGAUAUUGUGUACCUGAGCAUGAACAGGAACAUAUCCUACGCAAGUGUCACUCCGAAGCUUAUGGAGGACACCAUGCUGGAGAUAGGACUGCACAUAAGGUACUGCAAUCUGGUUUUUAUUGGCCUACUCUCUUCAAGGAUGCCUGUAAGUUUGUAUUAUCUUGUGAUGAAUGUCAAAGAAUUAGUAAUAUUAGUAGACGUCAAGAAAUGCCUAUGAAUUAUUCACUUGUUAUUGAGCCAUUUGAUGUUUGGGGCUUUGACUAUAUGGGACCUUUUCCUUUCUCUAAUGGCUAUACACAUAUUUUAGUUGCUGUUGAUUGCGUUACUAAGUGGGCAGAAGUUAUUCCAACUAGUAGUGCUGAUCAUAACACUUCUAUUAAAAUGCUUAAAGAAGUUAUUUUCCAAGAUUUGGAGUCCCUAGAUAUUUAAUGACUGAUGGUGGUUCACAUUUUAUUCAUGGUUCUUUCCAUAAAAUGCUUGCUAAAUAUGAUGUUAAUCAUAGAAUUGCAUCUCCUUAUCACCCUCAGUCUAGUGGUCAAGUAGAAUUGAGUAAUAGAGAGCUCAAAUUAAUUUUGCAAAAGACUGUUAAUAGGUCUAGAAAGAAUUGGUCCAAGAAACUUGAUGAUGCAUUAUGGGCCCAUAGAACUGCAUAUAAAAAUCCUAUGGGUAUGUCUCCGUAUAAAAUGGUCUAUGGAAAAGCAUGUCACUUACCUCUCGAACUAGAACACAAGGCUUAUUGGGCUAUUAAAGAACUUAAUUAUGAUUUUAAACUUGCCGGUGAAAAGAGGUUAUUUGAUAUUAGCUCACUCGAUGAAUGGAGAACCCAAGCCUAUGAAAAUGCCAAGUUGUUUAAAGAAAAAGUUAAAAGAUGGCAUGACAAAAGGAUACAAAAGCGUGAGUUUAAUGUAGGUGAUUAUGUAUUGUUAUACAACUCUCAUUCAAGAUUUUUUGCAGGAAAGCUUCUCUCUAAAUGGGAAGGUCCUUACGUUAUCGAGGAGGUCUACCGUUCCGGUGCCAUAAAAAUCAACAACUUUGAAGGCACAAAUCCGAAGGUGGUGAACGGUCAAAGAAUCAAACAUUAUAUCUCAGGUAAUCCCAUAAAUGUUGAAACCAAUGUUAUUGAAACCAUAACCCCGGAGGAAUUCAUAAGGGACACUUUCCGGAACGUUUCAGACUCCGAAAAGGAAUAGGUAUGUGGUACGGUAAGUAAACCAACUCCAAAACAGUUUUUAAGGCAAUAUUUCUCCGUUUUGGAAUAUUUAGAAAAAUAGAAAAAUAAGUAGCAGUCCGGGAAGGACACGAGGUCUCCACGAGGGUGGAGGGCGCGCCCUACCCUACUGGGCGCGCCCCCCUACCUCGUGGGCACCUCGUGUGCUCUCUGGAGUCCGUUUUCAUACACAACACGUAUUUUGGUCGGUAAAAAUUCAUUAUAUAAUCUCCCGGGGGUUUUGACUCCCGUAUCACGCAAAAAUCUCCUGUCUUUGUUUUGAGCUGUUUUCUGUUAGGGUUGUCAAGGCCAGGCACUAUUCGUCUCCCUCCUCCUCCAACCAUGAGGGCAAUGAUGCUUGUCUAAUGAAGAUAGAGCUGAAGAGAGAAGAACCUAUGGAGAUCAACAAUGAUGAAGGGAUCAAGAAGGCCAUGGAGGACCAUGUUCCAGCAACAGAAGACACCCUUCAACUUGAUCACAAUCUUCUUACCCCAACAGAAAUCGAAGCUUUCAAGAUGAUUGAGUUGGCUCGUAUACAAAAUAAGUAUCUCACACGUGAAAAUAUUUUGUUAAAGGAGCAUAUCAUCGCACUCAAGGGCAUUAUCCGCAAGUUAGAAGACCUCCUACACUCGAUGUGCGACUAUCCAUCAUCAACAACCCCACCUUCUUCACCAGCAAAGGAGACAUAAUCACAUGGGUAUGGGCACUCCACUUGGCAACUGCCAAGCUUGGGGGAGUGCCCCGGUAUCGUAUCACCAUCACUCUAUCUUUAUCGUUUUUCUUAGUUCGAUCCUUUUGGUAAUAUCUUGAUCUAGUAGAAUGAAAGUUCUUAGUAUGAUCUAGUUGCGAGUUUUCCCUUAUUAUCCUUCUAUGUAAUCGAGUCCAUGAGCUAUAUAAUAAAGAUUAGUGUUGAGUCAAGGGCUUGAUUAUUUUGCCAUGAUCCUAAAGGAAUAAAAGAAAAGGGAAAGAAAUAAAAAGAAACAAAGAGAUCAUAUGAGUCUUAUGGAGAGUAAUGAUCUCACAUAGAAAGAGUAUGAUGAAUAAAAGUUAUUGAGGGUUGACAAACACAGUUUUGGUCAUCGUUGCAAUUAAUAGGAAGUAAUAAAGAAAGAGAGGUCUUCACAUAUAAAUAUACUAUCUUGGACAUCUUUUAUGAUUGUGAGCACUCAUUAAAAUAUGACAUGCUAAAGAGUUGACAUUGGACAAGGAAGACAACAUAAUGGGUUAUGUUUUCUUACAUCUGAGAUAAAUUAUAUUGUCUUGGAUCUUCCAACAUGAUGAGCUUGCCUUUCCCCCUCAUGCUAGCCAAAUUCAUUGCACCAAGUAGAUAUACUACUUGUGCUUCCAAAUACCCUUAAACCAGUUUUGCCAUAAGAGUCCACCAUACCUACCUAUGGAUUGAGUAAGAUCCAUCAAGUAAGUUGUCAUCGGUGCAAGCAAUAAAAAUUGCUCUCUAAAUAUGUAUGAUUGAUUGGUGUGGAUGAAAUAAGCUUUAUACGAUCGUGUGAUAUGGAAGUAAUAAAAGCAACAGACUGCAUAAUAAAGGUCCAUAUCACAAGGGGCAAUAUAAAGUGACGUUCUUUCGCAUUAAGAUUUUGUGCAUCCAACCAUAAAAGCGCAUGGCAACCUCUGCUUCCCUUUGCGAAGGGCCUAUCUUUUACUUUUAUCUCCUACAUUGCAUAAGAGUCAUGGUGAUCUUCACCCUUCCUUUUUACAUUUUAUCCUUUGUCAAGCACAAUAUGUUGGAAAGAUCCUGGUUAUAUGGCUAAUUGGAUGUGAGUUUUCAUGAACUAUUACUGUUGACAUUACCCCUGAGGUAAAAACGUUGGGAGGCAAAAGUAUAAGCCCCUAUCUUUCUCUGUGUCCGAUUAAAACUCCAUAUCCAUAAGUAUUGCGUGAGUGUCAGCUGUGAAAUAUUAUAUGAUAGUUGAGUAUGUGGACUUGCUGAAAAGCUCUUAUACAUUGACUCUUUCCUACGUUAUGAUGAAUUGCAAUUGCUUCAAUGACCGAGAUUGUAGUUUGUUAGUUUUCAAUGAAGUUUACGAUUCCUACUUGAUAUUGUGAUUGAAUUGUUACUCUAGCAUCAGAUAUUAUAUGACAAAGAAUUAUGUAAGUUACUGUUCUAAGAAUGAACAUGAUGCCCUCAUGUCCGUAUUUUAUUUUUAUCGACACAUCUAUCUCUAAACAUGUGGACAUAUUUUUCGAUUUCAGCUUUUCGCUUGAGGACAAGCGAGGUCUAAGCUUGGGGGAGUUGAUAUGUCCAUUUUGCGUCAUGAUUUUAUAUCAAUAUUUAUUGCAUUAUGGGCUAUUAUUACACAUUAUGUCACAAUACUUAUACAUUUUCUCUCUUAUUUUAUAAGGUUUACAUAAAAAGGGAGAAUGCCGACAGCUGGGAUUCUGGGCUGGAAAAGGAGCAAAUAUUAGAGACCUAUUCUCCACAGCUCCAAAAGUCCUGAAACUUCACGGAUGAUGUUUUCCAAAUAUAUAAAAAAUAGUGAGCGCAAGAACCUCACCAGGGGGGCCACACCCUUCCCACGAGGGUGGGCGCACGCCCUACCCCCUAGGCGCGCCUCCCUACCUCGUGGGCCCCCUGGUGGUCCUCCGGUGGCCAUCUUAUGCUAUAUGAAGUCUUUUGAUGGGAAAAAAUCAUAAGCCAUCUUCUCAGACGGAACUCCGCCGCCAUGAGGCGGAACCUUGGCGGAACCAAUCUAGGGCUCUGGCGGAGCUGUUCUGCCGGGGAAACUUCCCCCCCGGAGGGGGAAAUUGUCACAUCCCUAGCUCUACCUUGGCCUUGUACUAGCUUGGUUGUUGCAUCAUGUUUAAAUUCAAAUGAAAUUUGAACUGAGGAAUUCAGAAGCCUCAAAACCCUAAUUAAAAGAAGGGCAAGCAACCCUUAAAUUGCAUUCUGUGAAUCCAAAAUGCCCUAAAAAUAGUUUUGUGAAUUUUGGCAAGGGUUAUACAUCAAACCAAAAUUCUGGAAUAUUUUUAAGGAAUUACUUGGUCUCUGAAUUUAAAUCAAUAAUCUAUUUGAAUUUGGGGAUAUAUUCAUAAUAUAUAAUGAAUAUAUUUUCAAAUGCUUUGAAAUAUUUUAUGUACUUUUGGAAUAGUCCAGAGAGGUAACAUAAAAUAUUUCAGAAUGUUUUGGCACUGUAUGAAAUUAUUUUGAAUUUGAAAACAGUGGCAAAAUAAAAUAAAAAGGGAAACAGAACAGAAAAAAAUAAAAGGAGCAAAGCUUACCUGUGCAGCCCACCAGAGCCGGCCCAGCUCCUGUGCUGGUCCAGCACUGUGCGGCCCAGCCCACCGCGGUCGCCACCGUCUUCAACCUCCUGCCAGUAGGCAGGAGGGCGUGUGCCCGACGCGCGCGCGCACGCUCCGGCCACCUCCUGCUUACCCGCUCGCCGCUGGAGGCACCCGAGGGCGCCACGCACUCCCCCUCGCCCCCUGCACCUCCCCUCUCUUCCCCUGGACCCCGUUCCCUCCUCUGCUCUCUCCCUGCACGCGCCCGAGCGGAGCUCGUCGUCGCCGACGCCGUUCGCCGUAGCCACCGUGCUCCUCACUGCCACCCGAAGUACCUAGAAGAUCCGCCCCGACCCCCUCUUCCUCCUCGCCGAGAAGCACACCGCGGGAGCCCCUGCAUCACCGCCAUCGCCGUCGUCUUCUACCUCGGACCCGCCGGCCAUCUUCGUCAAAUUCGUCGGCUCCGGUGCCUCCCCGAGCUCCCCGAGGCCACCGUCGCAACCCCUGUGAGCUUGCCUUCGUUUCCCCUCAUCUCUCUCCCUCGCGUGCACCCUGUAGCCGCCGCCCCACGAGCACCCGAAGCUGCCGUCCGCCAUGGCCGGUGAGCUCCGUGCUCCCGAGCUCCUCCGCCUGCGCUCGUUGUCUCCGGGUGUUCCUGGUGACCCCAGCAUCCCGUAGAGCCCAUCAGCUGACCUCGCCGUGCCGUGUAACGCCGAACCCGAGCACGCCCGAGCUCCGGCCGCCGCUGCCGAGCUCGGGGCCAUCGUCCCCGGCCGCCCUAGCUGCUGCUGCUUGCUGAAACGGGUGCGGGUGAGCUCCAGCUCCCCGUAGCCGCUCUCCUCCGUCCAUUUGGACGCCGGAGGAGCGAUCCCGAAGCCCUCCGCCGUGCCUGUUGCCGCCGGCGUUGAGCCGCCGGCCUGUUUGGGUCAUUUGACCGAGGUUUGACCCCCCUGGGUCGAUGACAGGUGGGGCCAGCCCCCUGUUAAUUAGUUAGUUUAAUUUAAUUAAACAACCCCCCCUGCGGACACUGACAGUGGGCCCGACCCCCCCUAAUCUUUUAAUUAAACUAAAUAAACCCCUGUUAACCCCCUGUCACUGACCAGUGGGCCCCACUGGUCAGGUUUGACCCGGACCAGCCCCUGUUGACUAUGCUGAGGUCAGCAUGACCUAGUGCUGACGCAAUAAUUCCUUUCUGGAAUUUAGAUAAUUAUUAAAUGAUUUAUAAAUUCCAGAAAAUAACUAAAACUUCUAAAAUUCAUAGAAAAUUAACCGUAACUCCAAAUUUAAUAAAUUAUAUAUGAAAAAUCAUCAGAAAAAUUCAAGGAAUCCAUCUGUACCAUUUUCAUGCAUGUUAGAACAACUUAUCACUACUGUUUAGGGCAAAUCAAUUAAAGGGCAUUUAAAUAAUCACAUAUGGAGUUUGAAUUUGAAUCUUGUAUUCAAACCAACUUCAUUUAAUCUGUUGCUAGUUGCAUUAGCCCAAAACACAUUCAUUUUGCCAUGUCAUGAGCAUGCAUCAUAUUGUGCAUUGCAUUGAUUGUGUUCCUUUCUGUGUUGCCGGUAUUUGUCCCCUCUCGAUAGACGCGAUACCGAUGAUGUGAUCGUUGACACUGAUGAAGACUCAAUGUUAUCUUCAGAAGUGCCAGGCAAGCAAAACCCCCUUGUUCAUUCCGAUACAGUCCUACUCUCUCGCUCCUGCUCUCUUUUACUGCAUUAGGACAACACCGAUUCAUCUGUUACUUGCUGCGGUAGCUGAACCCCUUUAUCCUUUGCAUGACCUGUCAUUGCCACAGUAAAUAGAUGAAACCCACUAGCAUGAGUAGGAGUUGUUUGAGCCCUGAUGUGCCUACUCAUUCAUGUUUGUUUGUCAUGCCUGCUAUUGCUUAGAGUUGAGUCAGGUCUGAUUCAUCGGGGAUGAAUCAGAGGUGUGUGAACAUGUCCUACGGUGUGUGAGCUAAGCGUGUGAACACGAUUUGGUAAAGGUAGCGGUGAGAGGCCAUGUAGGAGUGCAUGGUGGGUUGUCUCAUUGCAGCCGUCCUCAGGAACUGAGUUCUGUGUUUGUGAUCCAUGAUUCAGCUACUACCACGCAUUGGGCCCGAAACCAAUGGACCCUCUCGGCUUCUUGACCACCCUUGUCCUCUGUCCAGGAGUUGCAAGUAGUUUCUGGUGUUUGUAGUAUGCUGGAGGCCGUGGGCAGCGCUGACCGUAGGGGUGGGCUGUGAUGCGGUAGGCACGUGGCACGGUGUACCGGGCGCCCGUUUGGUGUCUCGGGAACCCUGUUCACAUCGUUUGGGGCUGUGAGCGAAACUCCGGCCGGAUCUCCUCAUGGAUGGAACCCGAAUAGGCGAUAAACCUGGACUAGAGACUUGAGUGUUUAGGUAGGCCGUGGCCGACACCCACGUUGGGCUUCCGCUUGAAGGUUGCCGAGUACAUGUCGUGUAAACGGCGGUAAGUGGUGAGAGCGUGUGUGAAGAAGUACACCCCUGCAGGGUUAAUCUAAUCUAUUCGAAUAGCCGUGUCCGCGGAAAAGGACUUCUGGGUUGCUUAUAUCAGUUCAUAGACAAGUAAAAGUGGAUACCCUAAAAUACGCAAGAUAAGCGUGAGUGCUAUGGAUGGCGUUCUCGUAGGGAGACGGGAGCGGAUCCAUAGUGGUGUAUUGAUAUGGUGAAUAUGUGGACUCGUGUGCGCCACCUCAAAGAGUUACAUUGCAGUCGUAGUUUAGGAUAGCCACCGAGUCAGAGCUGGCUUGCUGCAGUCAAACUCCACCAUCCCCUUUGUUGAUAAUGAUGCAUAUGUAGAUAGAUCUGAUGUAAGUCUUGCUGGGUACAUUUGUACUCACGUUUGCCUAUUUUAUGUUUUGCAGAGAGACUUCAGUCUCACUAGUAGUUCCGCUUGGACUUCGACGUUUAGCUUGAUACCUCAGCUACGAUCUUGUGCCCUUGGCAGGAUCUGAUAGAUAGUCAGGCUUCUCAGCCUUUUUCAUUUAUAGAUGUCUGUACUCAGACAUGAUAGCUUCCGAUUGUGCUUUGACUUGUAUGCUCUGAUUGUUGGGUCGUGAGACCCAUGUUUGUAAUAUCUCGCUCCUCGGAGCCUAUUGAAUAAACUACUUGAGUCGUAGAGUCAUUUUGUGAUGCCAUGUUGUAUUGCACAUAUCGAGCAUAUUGUGUGUAUGUUAUUGAAAUGCUUGGUAUGUGUGGGAUCUGACCAUCUAGUUGUUUAUCUUUAGUAGCCUCUCUUACCGGGAAAUGUCUCCUAGUGUUUCACUGAGCCAUGGUAGCUUGCUACUGCUCCGGAACACUUAGGCUGGCCGGCAUGUGUCCUUCUUCGUUCCUGUGUCUGUCCCUUCGGGGAAAUGUCACGCUUUGAGUACCGGAGUCCUGUUAGCCCGCUACAGCCCGAUUUACCGGAGUCCUGCUAGCCCAGUGCUACAGCCCGGACCCAUUUGCUGAUGACCGACACGUUCGAAGCUGGGUCAUGGAUGCCUGUCCCUGUAAGUCUGUGCCACUUUGGGUUUACGACUAGUCAUGUCAGCCCGGGCUCUUUAUCAUAUGGAUGCUAGCGACACUAUCAUAUACGUGAGCCAAAAGGCGCAAACGGUCCCGGGCAAAGGUAAGGCGACACCCGUGGGAAUACCGUGCGUGAGGCCGCAAAGUGAUAUGAGGUCUUACAUGCUAGACCUAUGUGGCAUCGAGUCGGGGUCCUGACAGCGUUGGUAUCAGAGCUUGACUGCCUGUAGGAUUACCAAGCCAAACUGGUCGAAGUUGAGUCUAGAAAUUCUUUAGUUAUAUAAGGGAAUUGAUUGUGGGAUGGAACGUAAGGCUCUUUUUACUCCUUAUACCUCAUGCCCUUCUGAUCUGAGUCAUCUUAUCUUUCCCGCGGGGAUUAAGAACUAGGCUAUCUCUUCUUUCUAUUAGGAUCACGUGUUACCAAUCCGUAGACCUAUAGAAUUGUUGGACUUAAGCCUCGUUUCAGUUCCUAUUACUUCCGUAUGUUAAAUUGUUGAUCUCGAAACCUUGAUAUUGUGCCUUUGAGUGGUUAUGCCACCAUUUUUGUGAAUGUCUCAAAUCUUUUCUGAGCAUUUACAGCCGUUAUGCUGUCCGAGUCACCCCACGUUUCUGAAUAGUCUGAAGCAUUUGCAAAAUUCCUUCCUCCCAUUCCGAUGUUCCUUUGGGCCAGAUUAACCACACUAAUCGGUGAGUUGAGGUAAAUUAUUGCCUUGACAUAUAUGUUGGAGCUAUUAUUAUGACCCUAGGUGUUUUAGGGAGUCACCUAGUAAUCUAGCAAUGUUUUGUGUCCCAGUGUGAUGAUUCUGGCUUUUAUUCUCGAAAGCAUCCCGUGAUGCCACUUAGUAGUAGGUAUUCUACUCCUUGGGCUUUGAACCCGAGAUUCACUCUACUUACUUCAUGUUGAUAGUGUUUGCUAGUUCCUUUAGGAUAUUAGUAACCUUUGCGAUAGUCCUUAAAGUCUGUGGUAUCUUCUUCUUCCAAAUACCAUGAACUACUUAUGGCAGAAGUUCCUCGUUGAACUGAAAUAUCACAACAGGAUUAUUCUUGAUGAGUUCUCCGUUAUAUAUUGUGACUCUGCCAGUUCUACUUUUCUGCAUGGGUUAUCCGGAAGAAACAUGUGGAAUUCGUUCGACAUGCUAAACCAUGCAUCCACAACUCAGAAAAUCAUAUGUUCCUUGAGUUGUCUCUCUUUAGUUGCAUUCUGACCCUCGUCUAUCAAUUGAUAGCCAAGAGUAUGCGUGCGUUCGUUUAUCGAUGCCUAUUACUCUUGUGGUCCGUCAAGCCAUUCUAUCGCAGAAUGACUAGGAGAAACAAACUCCAGUACCUCUUCCAUAUCCAGGAUUGGGUCAGAGAAGUUGUGCUCCGCAGAUCAAAUUGCUAAUCCAGCUUUCGUUCUGUUCUACCUUGGAGUAUUACCAUCUUUAAAUCGGGAUUGUUAUAGGAAUUGCACCCCAUCCUAUGAACUCCUGGUACAGUGAUACUUCUUGCCAUCACUGUUCAUUCCUCGGUUCCUGUGUUAUCGUAACCGGAAUACCGACAAAUGAAUUGUGAUGUGUGAAAUCAAUACUCCCAGCAACCUCGUUGCUUGGUAGUUAAAGGACAAUAAUUUCAUUCUUAGUGUGUUGGUUAUUGAAUCAUCAUUCUAAGAUUGAUCGUGCUACCUAGUCCAUUCUCCUGGUUCACUCCUCGAUCGAUGAGUUAGGAUUAUUUCAAAUUCUUACUCUAUUGAUCAUAUCGUCUUGCCCUGAAAAGCAAGAUUGUUCUCGAGCUUAGUAACAUACCGGUGGCUCGUGAUUCUCUGAAUAUCUUCUCAGAAGUAUUACCAGGUUGUCACCUGACCGCUAUGUCGAGCUCGUGAUCAAGUUGGUUUUUGUGAACCAUCCUUCUCCAAGAAUCUGUGUUGGAUAUCCCUGAGCUAGUUGGUUAAGUUAGACAACGACUUGGAGAGUUGGAAGAUAAAAGCUUGCUUGACUUAGUUCGUUCCAAAGGGAUAUUCUUGUGUAGUGUGUGUUGAAGAAAGAUGAUAUCUUCAUCGAUUGGUCCCUGUGAUCAGUUGCUGGAUCUAUUGUCUUAUCAAUCCUUUGAUUUGAGUGUGGGCUAUCGUCAAAUCAAAUCAGAACCAACGAUAUUCGUAAUGUUGUCUUACUCGUGGUUGAUUCCUCGAGCAUACACCAUUAUAUCUUUGGUCUGACCAAUGCUAUCACCGUGUUCACUUAACUAUGGAAUUCCUUUUAAAAGGAAACCUAGAUGAAUUGUUGUUGAGCCCAUUGACAACAUCCUUAUCUCCUCCAUAAUUUUGUUGAACAUUAAGCUAGUGUUGGAAAUUUUUGAGAGCAUUUGUUCAUGCUAGCUCAUGAAGCAUAUGUUUGGAUGAAGGUAGUGACUUCCUUUAAUUCAUGUGCAUCUGAUGCAAGUUGCCGCCGUGGAUUCGAGAAAGUCAAUGUUGUUUUCUUGGAACCAUUCUAAAUCAGUCAUGCACACGUGCGAAGAAUUCUGUGGUUCGGAGACUUGCAACCUCCAUUCCAUAUGUAUACCCUAGCACACCAAGCCACUGAUUGUUUUGUUCACGGAAAAGGAGUUGAUGUGCUAAUCCUAGGUCAUGCACAAGACUUCCAUAUCCUCGAUUAUGGUUCCCAACCAGAACUUGGUAGUGUUUUAUUAUAAGACUACCACGUGGUCAUGUUUGUCUGGGACAGCGUGUUCACAUGUUUGUAGCAGAACCAGCUCAUGUUUUGGAGCUUGCUAUCGUAGUUCAUCUCCCGAGAAUCCCGCAACGUCAUCUCGUCGAUUUGUGUUGCAAACUUUCGUUUUUCUUCCUAGACUCGAUGAGUCUGGAAUAUCCUGACACCAACCAGAUCUGAAUCUCAGGCAGAUAUGAUGGUUUGGAACAUUUCCCAAGAACUAUAAUAUUGGUCUCGCGAUAACCGAUAAAGUGGAUGUCAUGGCCAACACACCCAGCCGGAAGACCUAUUAUUGUAGUAUCUUGAUUGAAGAAGUUGGCCACCCCCCCCUAGGGAUUUCGUAGGAUUUACUCCCUAGUUGCCCCUAUGGAUUUUUGUGUUCCCGAAGUCCGACCUUUUACUUGAUGUUUUAGAUAUCAAACCAUAUCUAUGAAUGGGUUAUACUAGCACAUCAAGGAGAACAUUAGAAGCGGAGUGCUAAAUGUCUCUCGGUCGAUCAUCCAGAUUUUAUUUGCUUGGCCUCGCUAAGGUGAAAUCUGAGAAAGUGUUAUCCUCCUUCGCAUCUGCAUCGUCCAUCGCUAUUCAUCAUGGUAGUAUGUUGUGUUGUCAGCACCCUUGACGCGGUUGUUGGUAAACCCUUGAUGAAUAUGGAAAUGCUCAAGUUCUUGAGAGCACGCACAAGCUCUAGGUGUUACCGUCGACACUAACUAGGUUUGCUCUCAACUUCCUCGGAAAUGCUAUGACCUCUUCAAACAGUGAAUUCACUCCCUAUUGUUGGGUUCCUCCCCAGUUACCAGAAUCAUUCCCAGCAUUUGCAUUUUGUUCCCAGCUUGCACCGCCAAUGUGCCAUUCUACCACGGGUCUCUUCCAUCUCCGGUGAUAAGGAAAUUCAUCCACUACGUUGUCUUCAACAAGGUAAUCCACAUCAUCCAAGUCCGAGUAUGCCAUUCUACCGGCCCCCUCCAAAUGAUCGCUCGAGAAUUGCCUUAGGCUGGUUUAGAGAGUCUAAAUGAUCUCUAUAUCAAAGGUAAUUCUUUUUGCCACUUAAGGGGAUAUUUCUACGAGUCACCGUCCCUAAGGUGCCUCGCUGUGGUAUCAUGGCAACUCAACUCUUCGCUACGUUGGCAAUCGUUUACCACCUUCUUAAGCGUGGAAUCGUUGUCCACCUAGUGAACCUUCGUCAUCUGUUCCACUCCAUUUCUUCAAAUCUGUGCUUCGUCUCCCAGCUCAAGAGAUGUUGCUAUGUCUCAUUCCGUGAGUUGUUCGAUCUUCGAGAAGAUCGACCCUUCUAGAGUCUCCUUCUUCCCUCCAUGUCAUGUGGCAGGAUUUCUCAGAGCAAGACGACAAGGCAAAGAUGGUGAAUGAAUCAACGUUCAAUUGAAGUGCACCCUGGAUCGUGAAGAUUAUACUAGUUGCGUUUUCCUUCACCUUACCCUACGCUUGAAUCUCGAGACGAGAUUCUUGUUUAGUGGGGGGUGAGUUGUCACAUCCCUAGCUCUACCUUGGCCUUGUACUAGCUUGGUUGAUGCAUCAUGUUUAAAUUCAAAUGAAAUUUGAACUGAGGAAUUCAGAAGCCUCAAAACCCUAAUUAAAAGAAGGGCAAGCAACCCUUAAAUUGCAUUCUGUGAAUCCAAAAUGCCCUAAAAAUAGUUUUGUGAAUUUUGGCAAGGGUUAUACAUCAAACCAAAAUUCUGGAAUAUUUUUAAGGAAUUACUUGGUCUCUGAAUUUAAAUAAAUAAUCUAUUUGAAUUUGGGGAUAUAUUCAUAAUAUAUAAUGAAUAUAUUUUCAAAUGCUUUGAAAUAUUUUAUGUACUUUUGGAAUAGUCCAGAGAGGUAACAUAAAAUAUUUCAGAAUGUUUUGGCACUGUAUGAAAUUAUUUUGAAUUUGAAAACAGUGGCAAAAUAAAAUAAAAAGGGAAACAGAACAGAAAAAAAUAAAAGGAGCAAAGCUUACCUGUGCAGCCCACCAGAGCCGGCCCAGCUCCUGUGCUGGUCCAGCACUGUGCGGCCCAGCCCACCGCGGUCGCCACCGUCUUCAACCUCCUGCCAGUAGGCAGGAGGGCGUGUGCCCGACGCGCGCGCGCACGCUCCGGCCACCUCCUGCUUACCCGCUCGCCGCUGGAGGCACCCGAGGGCGCCACGCACUCCCCCUCGCCCCCUGCACCUCCCCUCUCUUCCCCUGGACCCCGUUCCCUCCUCUGCUCUCUCCCUGCACGCGCCCGAGCGGAGCUCGUCGUCGCCGACGCCGUUCGCCGUAGCCACCGUGCUCCUCACUGCCACCCGAAGUACCCAGAAGAUCCGCCCCGACCCCCUCUUCCUCCUCGCCGAGAAGCACACCGCGGGAGCCCCUGCAUCACCGCUAUCGCCGUCGUCUUCUACCUCGGACCCGCCGGCCAUCUUCGUCAAAUUCGUCGGCUCCGGUGCCUCCCCGAGCUCCCCGAGGCCACCGUCGCAACCCCUGUGAGCUUGCCUUCGUUUCCCCUCAUCUCUCUCCCUCGCGUGCACCCUGUAGCCGCCGCCCCACGAGCACCCGAAGCUGCCGUCCGCCAUGGCCGGUGAGCUCCGUGCUCCCGAGCUCCUCCGCCUGCGCUCGUUGUCUCCGGGUGUUCCUGGUGACCCCAGCAUCCCGUAGAGCCCAUCAGCUGACCUCGCCGUGCCGUGUAACGCCGAACCCGAGCACGCCCGAGCUCCGGCCGCCGCUGCCGAGCUCGGGGCCAUCGUCCCCGGCCGCCCUAGCUGCUGCUGCUUGCUGAAACGGGUGCGGGUGAGCUCCAGCUCCCCGUAGCCGCUCUCCUCCGUCCAUUUGGACGCCGGAGGAGCGAUCCCGAAGCCCUCCGCCGUGCCUGUUGCCGCCGGCGUUGAGCCGCCGGCCUGUUUGGGUCAUUUGACCGAGGUUUGACCCCCCUGGGUCGAUGACAGGUGGGGCCAGCCCCCUGUUAAUUAGUUAGUUUAAUUUAAUUAAACAACCCCCCCUGCGGACACUGACAGUGGGCCCGACCCCCCCUAACCUUUUAAUUAAACUAAAUAAACCCCUGUUAACCCCCUGUCACUGACGUGUGGGUCCCACACGUCAGGUUUGACCCGGGGCAGCCCUGUUGACUUGCUGAUGCAAGCAUGACGCAGUGCUGAUGUCAUAACUCAUUUUCUGGAUUUAAUUUAAUUCUGAAAUUUCAGAAAAUGCCUAAAACUUCAAUAAAUCAUAGAAAAUUAACCGUAACUCCAAAUUAAAUAAAUUAUAUAUGAAAAAUUAUCAGAAAAAUUCAAGGAAUCCAUCUGUACCAUUUUCAUGCAUGUUAGAACAACUUAUCACUACUGUUUAGGGCAAAUCAAUUAAAGGACAUUUAAAUAAUCACAUAUGGAGUUUGAAUUUGAAUCUUGUAUUCAAACCAACUUCAUUUAAUCUGUUGCUAGUUGCAUUAGCCCAAAACACAUUCAUUUUGCCAUGUCAUGAGCAUGCAUCAUAUUGUGCAUUGCAUUGAUUGUGUUCCUUUCUGUGUUGCCGGUAUUUGUCCCCUCUCGAUAGACGCGAUACCGAUGAUGUGAUCGUUGACACUGAUGAAGACUCAAUGUUAUCUUCAGAAGUGCCAGGCAAGCAAAACCCCCUUGUUCAUUCCGAUACAAUCCUACUCUCUCGCUCCUGCUCUCUUUUACUGCAUUAGGACAACACCGAUUCAUCUGUUACUUGCUGCGGUAGCUGAACCCCUUUAUCCUUUGCAUGACCUGUCAUUGCCACAGUAAAUAGAUGAAACCCACUAGCAUGAGUAGGAGUUGUUUGAGCCCUGAUGUGCCUACUCAUUCAUGUUUGUUUGUCAUGCCUGCUAUUGCUUAGAGUUGAGUCAGGUCUGAUUCAUCGGGGAUGAAUGAGAGGUGUGUGAACAUGUCCUACGGUGUGUGAGCUAAGCGUGUGAACACGAUUUGGUAAAGGUAGCGGUGAGAGGCCAUGUAGGAGUACAUGGUGGGUUGUCUCAUUGCAGCCGUCCUCAGGAACUGAGUUCUGUGUUUGUGAUCCAUGAUUCAGCUACUACCACGCAUUGGGCCCGAAACCAAUGGACCCUCUCGGCUUCUUGACCACCCUUGUCCUCUGUCCAGGAGUUGCAAGUAGUUUCUGGUGUUUGUAGUAUGCUGGAGGCCGUGGGCAGCGCUGACCGUAGGGGUGGGCUGUGAUGCGGUAGGCACGUGGCACGGUGUACCGGGCGCCCGUUUGGUGUCUCGGGAACCCUGUUCACAUCGUUUGGGGCUGUGAGCGAAACUCCGGCCGGAUCUCCUCAUGGAUGGAACCCGAAUAGGCGAUAAACCUGGACUAGAGACUUGAGUGUUUAGGUAGGCCGUGGCCGACACCCACGUUGGGCUUCCGCUUGAAGGUUGCCGAGUACAUGUCGUGUAAACGGCGGUAAGUGGUGAGAGCGUGUGUGAAGAAGUACACCCCUGCAGGGUUAAUCUAAUCUAUUCGAAUAGCCGUGUCCGCGGAAAAGGACUUCUGGGUUGCUUAUAUCAGUUCAUAGACAAGUAAAAGUGGAUACCCUAAAAUACGCAAGAUAAGCGUGAGUGCUAUGGAUGGCGUUCUCGUAGGGAGACGGGAGCGGAUCCAUAGUGGUGUAUUGAUAUGGUGAAUAUGUGGACUCGUGUGCGCCACCUCAAAGAGUUACAUUGCAGUCGUAGUUUAGGAUAGCCACCGAGUCAGAGCUGGCUUGCUGCAGUCAAACUCCACCAUCCCCUUUGUUGAUAAUGAUGCAUAUGUAGAUAGAUCUGAUGUAAGUCUUGCUGGGUACAUUUGUACUCACGUUUGCCUAUUUUAUGUUUUGCAGAGAGACUUCAGUCUCACUAGUAGUUCCGCUUGGACUUCGACGUUUAGCUUGAUACCUCAGCUACGAUCUUGUGCCCUCGGCAGGAUCUGAUAGAUAGUCAGGCUUCUUAGCCUUUUUCAUUUAUAGAUGUCUGUACUCAGACAUGAUAGCUUCCGAUUGUGCUUUGACUUGUAUGCUCUGAUUGUUGGGUCGUGAGACCCAUGUUUGUAAUAUCUCGCUCCUCGGAGCCUAUUGAAUAAACUACUUGAGUCGUAGAGUCAUUUUGUGAUGCCAUGUUGUAUUGCACAUAUCGAGCAUAUUGUGUGUAUGUUAUUGAAAUGCUUGGUAUGUGUGGGAUCUGACCAUCUAGUUGUUUAUCUUUAGUAGCCUCUCUUACCGGGAAAUGUCUCCUAGUGUUUCACUGAGCCAUGGUAGCUUGCUACUGCUCCGGAACACUUAGGCUGGCCGGCAUGUGUCCUUCUUCGUUCCUGUGUCUGUCCCUUCGGGGAAAUGUCACGCUUUGAGUACCGGAGUCCUGUUAGCCCGCUACAGCCCGGUUUACCGGAGUCCUGCUAGCCCAGUGCUAUAGCCCGGACCCAUUUGCUGAUGACCGACACGUUCGAAGCUGGGUCAUGGAUGCCUGUCCCUGUAAGUCUGUGCCACUUUGGGUUUACGACUAGUCAUGUCAGCCCGGGCUCUUUAUCAUAUGGAUGCUAGCGACACUAUCAUAUACGUGAGCCAAAAGGCGCAAACGGUCCCGGGCAAAGGUAAGGCGACACCCGUGGGAAUACCGUGCGUGAGGUCGCAAAGUGAUAUGAGGUGUUAUAUGCUAGACCUAUGUGGCAUCGAGUCGGGGUCCUGACAGAAAUCAUCGCCAUCAUCAUCACCAACGCUUCUCUCAUCGGGAGAGGGCAAUCUCCAUCAGCAUCUUCAUCGGCACCAUCUCAUCUAAAAACCCUAGUUCAUCUCUUGUAUCCAAUUCUUGUCUCUAAGUCCAGGAUUGGUGCUAGUAGGUUGCUAGUAGUGUUAAUUACCCCUUGUAGUUGAUGCUAGUUGGUUUAAUUGGUGGAAGAUCAUAUGUUCAGAUCCUAUAUGCAUAUUAAUACCCCUCUGAUUAUGAACAAUGUUUAUGCUUUGUGAGUAGUUACUUUUGUUCCUGAGGACAUGGGAUAAGUAUUGCUAUUAGUAGUCAUGUGAAUUUGGUAUUCGUUUGAUAUUUUGAUGAGAUGUAUGUUGUCUCUCCUCUAGUGGUGUUAUGUGAACGUCGACUACAUGACACUUCACCAUUAUUUGGGCCUAGAGGAAGGCAUUGGGAAGUAAUAAGUAGAUGAUGGGUUGCUAGAGUGACAGAAGCUUAAACCCUAGUUUAUGCGUUGCUUCGUAAAGGGCUGAUUUGGAUCCAUAUGUUUCAUGUUAUGGUUAGGUUUACCUUAAUACUUUUGUUGUAUUUUGCGGAUGCUUGCAAUAGAGGUUAAUCAUAAGUGGGAUGCUUGUCCAAGUAAGGGCAGCACCCAAGCACCGGUCCACCCACAUACCAAAUUAUCAAAGUGCCGAAUAUGAAUCAUAUGAACGUGAUGAAAACUAGCUUGACGAUAUUUCCAUGUGUCCUCGGGAGCGCUUUACAUCAUAUAAGAGUUUGUCCAGGCUUGUCCUUUGCUACAAAAGGAUUGGGCCACCUUGCUGCACUUUAUUUACUUUUGUUACUUGUUGCUAGUUACAAAUUAUCCUAUCACAAAACUAUCUGUUACCACUUAUUUCAGUACUUGCAGAGAAUACCUUGCUGGAAACCGCUUAUCAUUUCCUUCUGCUCCUCGUUGGGUUCGACACUCUUACUUAUCGAAAGGACUACGAUAGAUCCCCUAUACUUGUGGGUCAUCACCUAACUGGGUGAGGUGGUUCGCCUUCGAGCACGAGGAGGCGAGGCGACGCGGCGUGCGGGAGGUCGACCGCAGCGUGCCGCCGCCCUCGCUCAUCGUCCGGGAGGAAGACCAGGCGGUCCCUUGCGGCGGUCUACAUCGAGAGCGAGGAGGACGAGCGGCGCAGGGUGGAGGCGGUGGAGGAAGAGGAGGCUCGCUACGAGGCGGCCAUGGCGUAGGCCCUCGCCCUCUCCGCGGCCGGCGAUUGCGUGGAGCCGUCGGUGGACCUGUCGUCCCCUCCCCGACGGCUCGUCAAGGCCGACCCGGAGCCGCAGCCGGAGCCGGAGCCCAUCGUGCACUUCUCCUGGACGGGAGUGGUGCGCGGGUGGGUGUCCGCGCCACCGAUUUGGAUGGGGGCGACCCUGGCGCAGGAGGCGGCGUACCUCGAGAUGUGGCGCCAGCGACGGCUCGCCGAGGAGCGCCGUCGCGGCGAGUACAAGGAGAUGCUCGAGCGCGACCUCGAGGAGGAGGCGCGUCAAGCCACGGCUGCACAGGCGGCCGCACAGCCCUCCGCGCCAGCACUGCCCGCGCCGGAACAGCUGCCCGCGGCCUACAUCGCCGUCGCCUGAAACGUGGCGUUCCCCUGGGUCGGCCCUGCGUCGACGCUCAUCGACCUCACCCACCCCGAGGACGACGACGCCUAGGGCGCGCUGGGCAGCGCGCCGCCUCGUAGUUAGGUUGUUUAUAAUUUCUUUUAAUGCUAAUGUGGACGCGUGGACUCUUGCCGGCCUUCCUGGCCGGUUUUGAUGUUUAAUUAAGUUGUUUUCAUUUGAAAUAUGCAUGCACAGCUUCUUUUGUCGGCGCCGUAAAAAUGGGUUGGGCAAGCGUUGGGCACAUACACCGACCUAAACACCGAAGCGGACAUUCGUGUUCGCCUGACCGAUCCAAACGAAUAAAAAGCAGACGAAAUUACCGUUUGGGUCGGCCCAUUGGAUUUGCUGAGAGUCCAAUUUGCAGGAAGCGCGGGUGAUUCUGUUCCGCUAGCUUGGCGUACAAGAGAUCCAAUUGCUUGUGUCUAGGCAGAAAUUGUGGAACCUCGACUUCAGGAUGUCUUCGGGUUUUCUAGUGCGUGUGAGAGUGUGAGCGCGUUGCCUGGGUGGGUGGGCCACACUUAUAUAAAAAUCUAUUAUGUUAGAGGAUCUACAAUCAGAGCCCUUAAAUCCGCCUAAUUGCCCGGACGCAUCCGCUGCGUAGGACGGACAAACUACAGGAGCACGCGCCAAUUCGCAUAUCUCCACCUUCUUCCUUGCCCGACCAACCCUUUUCUCUUCUUUUUUCUCCCUCGUUCGCACAACCAUCACCGGAGUUCCGCCGCCAACUUUGCAUCGCCAUCAUCCUCAACUCAGGGCUUCGCCACCGGAGGCUCCUACCCACACCGCCGCCAAUUGUGCCGCAACCGGUCAAUGUCGUCGCCACUAGACGCUGCCCUGGUACGUCCAACUCUCCCCUAUAUACACCUUGUGUUCUAGGUGUUUGACGAAAUGUCUGAGCCGGUUUUUAUUCUUUUGGUCUCUACUUGUAGGUCAUUGAUGGAUUUGUCGUGGAAUGAUGGCUACGGGAACCCCGAUUUUGACGAAUUCAUAUUCUGUACAAUUUUUUUAUGUAUUUGUUUGAAACUGAAAUGUUUGAAUUUAAAAAAACAUUCAUUUCGGCCUCCAUGGAGGCCGAGUUCCAAAACACCCCACUCAUCCCUACUAACAUAUUAUCUCAACAUGCAACUAUGUCACUUCGUCGUGCAAAUAUAUACGGAAAAUGAUCUGCCUCAACAUGCAACAUGAUGUAAAAAAGGCUCAAAUGUCUUAAUUAUCUUGUGCUACUUACGUUUACUAAAUAUUUUACAAUUAGACGCUACUUUAAGUUGUAGUUCUUACAUUAUUAAUCUAAAUACUCAUUCAUAUAAUCAAAUUUUACCAAAAUACACUAUAAAUAAUCUGCAUAGCAACUCGCGAGAUAUCAUCUAACUCUAAAUGCCGACUAUCGUCAACUUUGUCCUUACACUUAGUUUGUCAAGGUGCAUACAUAUUUUUUGUGAUGCUUGUAUCUGUAGCAUUUAGAAGAUGCACUUAAUCUAUUACUUGAUUUAACCACAAAGAAGUGCAAAUGACAUGUGGGGUACAUUAGUUUACGUGCUCAUACGUCUCAAAUGUAUCUAUAAUUUUUAUCGUUUUAUGUUAUUAUCAUACCAUGUUUACAUAUUUUUAUAACAAAUUUAUAUUAUUUUCAUGGACUAACCUAUUAAUUCAGUGCACAGAGCUUGUUGUUGUUACUACAUGUUUUUGGUUUACAGAAAAUCGAUAUCUCUAGACCUUAAAAUACCCUCGGGAUUUUUGAUGAUUUUUUUGGAGGACGAAGCUUUCAGAAAGCACUGGAAGGAGCCAGGAGCCACUAGACAGCCAAGCCUCCGACACGCCUUUCACCCAUAUUUUUCCUAUAAAUCUUAUUACUCUCAAAACAAUUUGUACCAUUUUUCGUGAUUUUUCCCCGCUGCCACAAGUUCCUCUUCCAAGGAAAUCCAAUCUGGGGGUCUGUUCCGACGAGCUGCCAGAGGGGCAUCCGUCACCGGAGCCAUCCUCCUCAACCUUGCUAUCACCAUGACCAUGUGUGAGUAGUUUUAUUAGGACCUUGGGUUCAUAGCAGUAGUUAGAUGGCAUCCUCUCUCCCUUGUGAUUCGAUACAAAGUUUCUGUCAGCUGCCUCACACAAUUGGAUCCCUAUGAUGUAAUCAGUGUUGUGUUUGUUGGGAUGUGAUGAAUUGGCACUUUAUGAUCGGAUUUGUUCAUGAAUUAUAUUGAAUUUCUUAUGGUUUCUUUGCUGCAUAAUUAAGUAGUCGUAUAUGCUUUUGGGUCUAUUUGUCUUCUUCGACCAAGUUUGAUGUGCAGAUCUUCGGAGGGGGUUGUGUAUGGCAGUGAGUUCAAUCUUGCGGUGUUCUAUAUCCCAGUGACAAUAAGGGACAAGACAUGUAUUGUAUUGUUGCUACUAAGGAUAAAAUGAUGGUUUCUUUAUCAUAGUCGGAUGAUAGUUUUAAUUAUUGUCUAUAUUAUGUCAUCAUGCUUAUUGUAAUGCUUUGUUUGUACAAACUUAAUAUCUCGAGAUGCAUGCUCGAUAGCGGUCUUUGAGUGGAGUAUCAGUUGUAUAUGCAUUUGGAUUAAUGGUCUAUAUAUCACGGCCUUAAUGCCUAUACAAGAUUGUGUCAUGAAUGCUCGUAGUGGUAAAUAUAAAUAUUACAAUUUAAUCAAUGUCAAACUGUAUUUUGUUCACCACAACACAUUUAUCCUACUUUGAGAGACGCCUCUAUUGAAUCUAUGGCCCCGGGUCUUUUUUCCUUAAUUUCAAUCAUGAUUAUCAUUUUAUUUUCUUGUUGUAUCCUUUUAUUUAUUUUAUCUAUUUAUCAAUUCCUAUCAUACCAUAUAAUUUACCCUUGUAGCUAGCAAGAUAAGAAGAUUGACAAAACAUUCUUGAAUCAUUAGGGACAAGUUUGUUUUGUGUGUUGUGUGUAGGUACCAACCAUUAGUUUUUGCAGAGAUAAUCCUACUGAUUCGGUAAACCUUGGUUCUCAAUCAGUGAAAUAAUUAUUGCUAGGUCACGUCACUCUUAUACUUGGGGGUCACCAACAACUCAUACAGGAGACCAAGCAAGAUUUGUGAAGGCAUUGCCGUUACCACUUUGAUUUCUUGUUAUCUAUCUUUGUUAGUUAUAUUUUAUAUAUCGUUUGUUUGCUUUGAUGCUAUUCACAAAAAACUCAAAAUACCAAAAAUAUUUCAAUAUUAUCCUCCUUUUACCUUGUUAUAACAAUAACAUCAUGGAUAUGGGAUCUACAAUUUCUAAAGUUUUCGAACAUGCUAAUAAUAAAUAGAUUAUAGAGGAAGGGUUAUUGGAAUAAACAUCCACGAGCGCUUCGGCCCCACAACCAGCAACGAAGAGGAGGAGCAACAGCUCGCGGUCGUUGCUCAUUGCUCUGAGGAGGAGAACGACGACUUUGCCUACAUCGAUGGGUUGUCAGGCGAGGAGGAUGAGGAGGACAAUUUUUUUUUGACGGUGCUACGGCGGGCUUACGCCAGCCUGAACCAUUUUCAUUAUAGAUAAGACUGAGAUACAACACGACAGUUACAACAGAUAUCACCCGACACACAGGAGAAGGAACCAGGAACAACAGAAUACAAGAUGGAACAAGGAACAACAGAAAAAGAACCAGAAGCGAGCUAUGACAAGCAGCCAACACCAAGAACUUAGCAUCCAUCACCAUCAGUGGACCGAGAAGAGCGGGAACUAGCUUUGUUGGAUCCGUCGAAAGGACAUCCGCCACCGAGAAGACGUAGAGAAGAAGUUACCUGCUACCAUGCGAUCUCUGCACCUUGAAGAGCUAGGAGAUCGUAGCCACCAUCGAAGAGCAUCCUGCUGCCUAGGAACGUCGCGGCAGAGAAAGCCACAGACCGUGCCGAAGGGCAAUUUUCCGCCGAGAUAGCCCUACACCUCCUCUGAGCCACACCACGGCCACCAUCACAAAUAGAGAGAACCAUAGCACUCCGCAGGCCACCAAACCUCAAAAGCCAUCGAAGGGUGCCCAAAACCGUGACCUCACCGUUGCCACGAGCCCCAAAAAGAGAAGUCAACCAUCAGCAUAGGAUGACCAAGGUACUGGUCGCCAUCAUAGUGCACCUCACCGCCACCGCCCUACAAACCAGCAACCUGAACCAACACUCCAGCCCAGACAUCAGACAACCAACCGCGGAUCCCUGGUUCCUGAAACGACGCCCCCAAGGGGGAAACAACAUGGAAGAUGUCGUCGUCAUCCGAUCCAGAGAAGGAUCUGAGGCUUUCACCCGAAACACGGAGAAAUAGCCGGCAACGGUAGCUCCCCAAUGAUGCCUUCACGAAGGGACACGGCGCCAGGAGACGUCGUCAUCAUCGUUGCCGACGAGGUCGGCAAUAGGCUUUCGCCCGAAGCAUCCCAGCCCGGCCGACUCCGCAAACGCCGGCCACCGAGUCCGGCGGCGCUAGACCUUCCCCUCUCCUGCCAGUCCACGGCGAGCGUCCCCGCUUGGUCCAGCAAGAGUCAUCCGCAAACACAGCCGCUCACCUCGAGCACCUGCACAGACAGAGUUGGUUCUGUCUCGGCUGCCACCUGCGCCCAACCCCUCACCGCCGGCCACAACACCACACCACCACACGCCUACCCCGCCGACAGCAGCCACCACCGACCCCCCAGCCACAACCAUGGAGAGCACCAGUCGUGCGAGCCACCGCCCCAGAAGGAUCCAGAUCUGGGCGAAGAGAGGCACCCAGACCAGGCAUGGCAGUCACCAGGCACCGCCAUGGCCUGCUCACCACGCUGCGCUGACCACCACACCCGCCUACGCCACCAGCCCCCAGUCGCGGCCGCAGGGACCGCCGGCCAAGGGAACGGGCCGCUGUUCGAAGGGAGCGGAAUCUGGAGCUCCCCUGGGCAGAGCGGCGUCGGAUCCUUGGAGACCCAGCUGCCCACACCUCCGCGCCGCUCGCGCCGGCGCACUGCGCCACCAUUGCCGGUGCGCGCCCCCGACCGCCCGCGAGUCCCCGUCGCCGGCCAGCGUCCCGCGCCGCCACGCCUGGAGAAGAGGAGGGAGAGCCGUCUUGCCCGGGGACGCCCUCCGGCGGCGGCGGGAGGAGGAGGGGGGAGGCGAGGGUGGCUGUCGGCGGCGGCUGGGGUUUAUCCCGAGCCGCCCGUGAGAGCGACACGGGAGGCGAGAUCUCUCAGACUACGUUUGACUGUGUACCGAUGAGGAGGACAAUGACUAGGCGGCGGUGGAAACGGCGUAGUGAAGGUAGUAGUAGUUUGCAAUGUCGAUUAGGGGCAUUGUAUAUUUUGAAAAUGCCGCUUAACGAUAUUUCAAGUCGUAAAAAUAUAUGUAAUAAUACGACUUUUGGCCACUAACAUAUAGUAGUUGCUAAUUAUGUCUAUCGCAUUUGGUGACAAUUAUGAGCUGUUUGGCUGCAAAAGAAAAUUGCUACUUGAAUUGAAACUAAAAUCAGGAGAGCAGAUAAAAAAAAUGCCGUUUGGUGAUUUUGUAUUUGCGCACAAGCCGACAGCCUUCAAAUUCAAAUUAUUAUGAAACGCAGUCCAUAUAGCCAGCGGACCACGAUUCAAAUUAUGGCAACUCUUCUAGAGCUGCUCUUAUAUUUCCAACACACCAUUUAUUCACCUGAGGCGUGUCUAGGAGCACAUAUCCAUGGCAUGCCUCCACGCUAAUGACACAAUCACGAACCAACAUAUUCACACGCGACACACGUACACACACAUGCAAUGGACACAUCACUUGGCGCUGAACCCAGAGAAGAAGCGGUUGAUGGCGGGGAAGACCUCCGGGCGGUGCGCGCUGACGAAGCGGCGGAAGGCGUGCUGGCUGUACCUCUCGCCCUCCUCCUCGUUCUCCGGCACCGCGCUCUGCCGGUUGCUCUUGCUCACCCUGAACAAAGCAAGAGAGCAAAACGGUUAACCACAUGCAUGCAUCGAAAUUCGAAAUGAUCCGAUCGAUCGAUCGGGGCGGCUUGGAGGCCUCACCUGACGUCCGGGUUGAGGAAGACGUUCCGGGUGAGCUGGAAGAUGCACAUCCCCGUCACCAGCGACAUGGCGCCGAUCAGCGGGUAAACCUGCACCACCACCAGGAUCGUUAAGGCAAGAUACAAAAAUAACUCUGAAGUAAUCGAACGGUCUUGCACGUACAUCUGGCUUCAACCAACGGCCCAUGUCGUCGUCGCCUGGCCUAGCGUUGCGCUCUGCGAUGAUCUAAACUCUGAUGAAAGACGCUGCUGCUAUCUUCUUUUCCCUCGUGUUCUUCUUCCCGGCCAAUGGUUUGCCCGUUGUUUGUAUGCAGAGAUAUAUAUACAUACAUACAUACAUGCCGUGCGUACGUGGGGCGGCGUCCAGCGAGGAGAGGGGGCUGCGACGACGCCUCGGACGACCGAUUUCUGUGGGCGAGCGCGGGAUCUAUCGAGAAACCAUGAGCGGCCUGCGGUUUUUGGAGCUCGUUCGUCAAAGGUUGAACAGUUCCCGUGUCAGGUCAGCCCGCCCGCCUCUCUCCCGCGGCCGAUGCCAGGCCGGGUCAACGUUGCCGCACUGCCUAUGCGUCGUCAUCGUAUCUCUUUCGUUUCGGUCGAUGGGCACGUACGUACGUGCGUAGCAUUUCCAUAGUCAAAACUGGCGUCUUCCUCGCAUUCGGUGGAGACGAGGAUACAGAUAGAUACGCCUGGAUCUCUGAAACCAUGGGAGCGAAUCUGGUUUUGAACAUUAAUGAUACAUUGAUACGGCAUUACGGCGUGGCGUGAAAUUUACGUUGACUAGUAAUAAUGUACGUAUAAUGCACAUUUAUAUUAGGUAAGAUAUAUCUGUUGCACGAUGGUAUUUGGUAAGAUAUCAAUUAUUUUUACAUGGAAAUGAUAGGAUAUUAAUUACAUGCCAGAUUUCAAGGGAUAGCGUUGAGUCAAAAUAUGUUUAUAACCAAUGCCAGUGAUGGGUAAUUAGAGCGUUAAACGUGUUUGGUGCUCAACAUUGGAGCGAUUUGAACCGUUAGAUAACAUGAUUUGAUGGUCGGGAUGGUUUGGAUCUGCCCAUUUGGAUCUUUUUAUAUUGGUAUAGAUGCAACCAAAAAAAAGGCCAGGAGGUGGAAACCCAAUUUCUCUCUAUUUUCGGACCCAGUUUCCCCCCAAUCUAGAAGGUGGUGGAAACCACUCCACCACCUGUCUAGACAUAUAAGGACCCUUGGUGCCUUGGCCAACCCGACGUCCAUUAAGAAGCUAUCCACGAAGACGUGCUGGAGAAAGAGCUUUGAAAAACAUUCUCACGAAUAGCUUUCCUUUGGGCGUGUUAGAUUGCCCACAUGGUUAUGACUGUUCGAGUAAAUUCUUCACGUGUCAUGGAGUCCAUCAAGGAAAAGAGCCGUCGGUUUUGAAGAAUUGCAAUGUAGGUCAACGAUCAAUUCAUCCCUAGUGCCCACACAUAUCUCGGCAUCGCACAACUGAUUAGCGAGUGCCCCAUGAAUCUCCCGCGCCACAUAAUUCGCGGGUCUUUAUCGAAAAACAUAAUUCAUGGGUAAUACUUUUGGCCAUGUGUCUUUAGCUAGAACAUCUCGUGUUACAAGUGAAUAUUGUGCAAGCCUCCACAGAAACACCUUCGGCUUCGAAGGUACACACAUUUUUAUAAUUUUCUCCAGUGGCCCACAUCGCUGGUCGAUGAGCUUAGCCUCCCCUCUAGCCGUUUCUCCCACCGUUGCUUUGUUUUCGCAAGCAUCUGGUAAGCCGAACGACCGGUGAAGAUUACAAUCUUUUCAAAAUGCCAUGCCCAGAAAUCUUCACAUAGCGGGGCGCUAAUUGGGAUCCCCUUAUAAUGCCCACGUCCAUCAACAAAGAUUAUUGUCGAAGUCAGGAGCUCCUAUUCGGUGCUAGGCAGCAAGGAAGCUCCCCGGCGCACACACACCAACGCUAGUGGGCCGAUCCAUGUAGAUUGCACAUUUAUUUCCCCCGGUUCGCUAAAUUGCAUUUAAAAAACAAAAACAAAAUGAUAAAAUUCGCAAAAAAUUCAUGAAUCCAAAUAAGUUCACGUAUUUUGAAAAUAUUCAUGAAAUUAAAAAACGAUUUGAAAAAAAUCAUCAAAUUGGUAAAAAAGUUAAUGGAUUUGAAACAAACAUCAAAUGUGAAAUUUUUCAUCAUUACAAAAAGAUCAUUGAAUUUGAAAAUAGUUCACCAAUUUUGAAAGGUUCAUCGAUUUGAAAAAAAAUCAAAUUUGGAAAAUUUCAUCAUUACAAAAAAGAUCAUUGAACUUGAAAAUAGUUCACCAAUUUUGAAAAGUUCAACGAUUGGAAAAAAGGUCAUCAAAUUAUUUAAAAUGUUCAUAAAAAUUGGAAAAUUUCCAUCAAUGUGAAAAAAGUUCAUCAAAUUUGUUUUUUACAUUUUGAGGAAAAAUUAAAGAAAAAAGGAAAAAACAUGAAAAAUGUAACAAAAAAAGAAAGACAAAAAACCGGUCCAAAAAAACCCACAACAAAAGAAGAAGAAAAACGGCUGGAGAAACUAUACAAAACAAUAAAAGGAAAUAUAUUAUCAUGACGUGUCAUUUGCUGGGUUGGUUAGUAAACAUACGUUGGAGGUCGCCAGUUCGAAUCCCAGCCAUGCAUGUUUUUAGCAUAUUAAACCAGAAAAAAAAAGUGGAAUGGGCCGUCCUAACAAGGGGUAGGGGUGUGCGCCGGUUUGUCAAAUGAUCUACAACCGGCGCCUGAAGCGCUAAAUAGGAAACGCCGUCGAAGUCUCCCUCCAUUCCAAUGUGCCGACUAAGACAUGUCAAUAAAAUUAGGUAGCCUUUACAAGAUUAUGGGCCUCUAUAUUAGGGGAGAAAAAAAAUCUACUUAUAGACGCAACACUUUUAUACAAUGAGUACAGUGUACCCGGCCCAAACAGCGAGAUUCCAUUGGACCCAAAAUACGGAGGAGCCUCGCAAGUUCGUGACACACACCGGACGAGAAAAAACGGUGCCGGGCCGCCGCCCCUAAAAUAUCUCCGGGCCUCGCAAGGCGAGCUGCGGGAGCACGCAGACGAAUGGGCCUCUGACAGCGGACCCCACCCGACGGGAACACGUAAACCNNNNNNNNNNNNNNNNNNNNNNNNNNNNNNNNNNNNNNNNNNNNNNNNNNNNNNNNNNNNNNNNNNNNNNNNNNNNNNNNNNNNNNNNNNNNNNNNNNNNNNNNNNNNNNNNNNNNNNNNNNNNNNNNNNNNNNNNNNNNNNNNNNNNNNNNNNNNNNNNNNNNNNNNNNNNNNNNNNNNNNNNNNNNNNNNNNNNNNNNNNNNNNNNNNNNNNNNNNNNNNNNNNNNNNNNNNNNNNNNNNNNNNNNNNNNNNNNNNNNNNNNNNNNNNNNNNNNNNNNNNNNNNNNNNNNNNNNNNNNNNNNNNNNNNNNNNNNNNNNNNNNNNNNNNNNNNNNNNNNNNNNNNNNNNNNNNNNNNNNNNNNNNNNNNNNNNNNNNNNNNNNNNNNNNNNNNNNNNNNNNNNNNNNNNAACAAGAUCCAGCCACGGCUAAAAAGCUCCCCCUCCCCCACGUUUGGACGGAGCUCCCUUCCAUCUCUCCCCCACCCCUUUCUUCUUCCUCCCCACGCCCGCCGCCGCCCGGGACCUAGGGUUUCCUCGCCGCCGCCGCCCCCGCCGCCGAAUCGCCGCAGGAGGAGGAGAUGGGCACGCCGGAGACCUCGCGGGAGCCGUGCCCGGACCGCAUCCUGGACGACGUGGGCGGCGCGUUCGGGAUGGGGGCGGUGGGCGGCUCCGUCUUCCAUUUCCUCAAGGGCACCUACAACUCGCCCAACGGCGAGCGCCUGCUCGGCGGGGCCCAGCAGGUGCGCCUCAACGCGCCGCGCGUCGGCGGGAGCUUCGCCGUCUGGGGCGGCCUCUUCUCCGCCUUCGACUGCACCAUGGUCUUCGUGCGCCAGAAGGAGGACCCCUGGAACUCCAUCAUCGCCGGCGCCGCCACGGGCGGCUUCCUCUCCAUGCGCCAGGGUCCCGGCGCCGCCGGCCGCUCCGCGCUCAUGGGCGGCUGCCUCCUCGCGCUCAUCGAGGGCGCCGGCCUCAUGCUCAACCGCGUCCUCGCCGCGCCGCAGAACCUCCCGCCGCUCCCCACCGACGAUCCCAACCUGGCCGCCGCGAUGGCGGGGGGAGGCGUCGGCGGCUUCCCAGGCAUGCCCCAGCCACUCGUGCCCCCCGUGGAGGUCGGGAGCUCCAGCGGCGGGGGUAGUUGGUUCGGCGGCCUCUUCGGCAAGAAGGAGGAGGAGAAGAAGCCCAGCGGCGGCGUCGGCAAGUCGGAGAUAUUAGAGAGCUUUGACACGCCCAGCACUCCGAUACCAUCGUUCGACUACAAGUGAGAAAAAAAGGUGCGGUUUUUCUCUCCGAUCUGUAUUUUGGAUUCAGUUUCAGAUGUUUUCUCAGUUCGAUCCGGUUUCUCUCUUAGCUUAUUUAUUACUUGGUGUUGAGGCCGUCCGCGGUUAGGAGUCCAUGUCGUGUACAUCAAGAAGCCUUAUUACCUCCUUAUAUAUCAGGGACGAUCGACCGUGUUAUAUAUACUCUCGUUCUGAACCCCGGGAAGAUUUUAGUUCACCACAACGCAUCGAAUCUUCAGAUAGGGUUACGCAGCUAAUACUAUGUCGGCUCCUGUCUCCGAGAGAGAUCUCUUCGAGAGAGAACCGUGCCCAGGCCGCAUCAUUGAUGAUGCAGGCAGUGCUUUCGCCAUGGGUGCUGUCGGUGGUUCUGUCUAUCACUUUCUCAAGGGCCUUCGUAACUCGCCCAAUGGUGCGCGAAUUACUGGCGGCAUGCAGGCAGCUCGCAUGAACGCCCCUCAACUCGGGGGGAGCUUUGCUGUGUGGGGCACCCUAUUUUCCACCUUCCACUGCACCUCGGCCUACGUGCGCCGGAAGGAGGACCCCUGGAACUCCAUCAUAGGUGGCGCCACCACUGGAGGGGUUCUCUCCAUGCGGCAGGGCAUCAAAGCUUCUGGCCGCUCGGCACUCGCGGGCGGCUUUUUCCUCGCCCUCAUAGAGGGCGCCGGCCUCAUGGCCAACCGAUUCGCACCACAGAUGCUCCCGCCGCUCCCUGCUGAUGAUCCCAACAUGGCCGCCGCUAUCUCGACGGGAGGAGGUGGCUUCCCAGGCCUGCCUCAGCCUGUCGUGUCCCCUGCAGAGGUCCCGAGCUCAAGCAGUGGGGGUAGCUGGUUUGGCGGCCUCUUUGGCAAGAAGGAGGAGAAGAAGCCCAGCGGCAGUACUGGCAUGUCGGAGAUAUUAGAGAGCUUCGAGACGCCCAGCCCUCCGAUACCAUCGUUUGAGUACAAGUGAAGGAAGGUGCGGUGUUUGUUUGACUGCUCUGAUCUGUAUUUUGGAUUUAAUUCAGAAAGGUUGUUGUUUUUAAGUUCGAUCCACUCCUUGUUUCUGAUACUUUACCCGACGAGGUGGCAAUGAUUUAUUGAGGUGUCUGUUCUAAAUGAUUCUGCCGCUGAGUUUUUCUUGCUAAUGCAACAUGCCACUUUAUUUACUUGUCCAUGCCGUAUAAUCAAGAAGCUUUAUUAGCUUCCAAUUACAGAAUUCAAUUACAGAACAUGAUUGAUUGUCGUAUAUAGCUGCUGUGGUUUUAUUUCAUCACUCUGAGCUCCGAGGAAGCUUUUGUGGUUAAUUAUAUUCCGCUGAGUUCUACCUCCUACUUCCACCACAAAGCACUAAAUCUUCAGGUAGGGUCACACGACAGAUACUAUGUGUACCUUUCACCAUGGGUUGUGUGACCCUACCUGAAGAUAAUUAACGGACCCAUUCCCAGACCAUAUUUUUGAUGAUGCAGCGCCAUGGGUUGUGGGAGGUUCUGCCUUCCAUUUUCUCAAGGCUGCAUGUCCUCUAGACUGUAAAAUAGCUUUAUGUGAUCUACGAGUAGUUCAGUUCAGUACGUAGGUUUGUGGACUUUCAAUGUUGGUUUAUUAGUGGUGAGUUGUUCUAUGGCUGUCCGUUUAUAAGCUGGUUGUUCUUCUGGCCAAUGAAACAUCUCAAAAUAAAGCAUUUGCAUGUAUCAAAAUUAUUUUAGAGCUUGUUAUGUUCUGUAUGGACAUGAGAAUAAAUCUGUCAAGAAUAUUAGGCCUGGUUUGCUUUUAUCAUGUUGUCCUACUCCAUUUGAGAACUCAUAAAUCUGUGUUUCGUUGUGAUAGGGAACAUGGUAAAUAUUCCUUUUUUAUCUAGUCCUGGUUAUGGAUGGGCUGCAUUGGCCAUUUACUUGGACUGAAUUAUUUCUUCUGACAGACAGAAGAAAAAAAUGUUCUAUCUGGCUUACAAAAUUGACAUUCCUGUUGACGUGAAUGCAGUUUUCUUAACCAAUAUCUUGCUACAUGCUUACCUUUUUAUAUGAUGUUAGGGACUGAUUGUGCCUCUUAGCAUCUGAAAUCAUGUCCCGAACAUGCCCCUCGACUGCCUAGCCUAACUUGUUAUUUGUUAAUAAGAUAUAUAAAUUCCAUAUUGUACUUACUGGGUCAAUAAAAUCUUAUGCAAGUAGCAGAUACGGCUCCCAUGGAUUUGAAGAUAUAAAGUAGAUUUUGGUUUCAAGCUGUUUCGAUGCAAAUAUGGAAGUACUACACAUGAUUUUAGCUUAUUUUUUCCCGGUUAUCAGGGAUCGGUUAUUUCAGUGCAGUGUUUUCACAAUUCUUUAUCCAUGGUCCUUGUUCUUCAACUGUACAUUUAGGAUGCCACCUUGGAACUUAAAAAGAAACAAGCUGCUGUAAGGUCAAGUGCCCCAGGAAUGCCUGAGUCAUGCACCUCUGUAUGCUCAUGUGUCUAUAUUGCUCAAGUUCUGUUGGACAUUUUACUAGUGAAUGACUCUAAUUAUAUAUGGAACUAAGAGAAGGUCUCCAUCGUUUUGUCUAAUCUAUCGAGAUGUAUGUUAGACAAUAUCCGUCAUAUGCUUUUUAGUUCCGUCCUCUCUGUUUGAUGUGAUGUUAAACUAUGGCGUGCUUUUGUUGCGCAGCGUGCAGGUUCAUGUGGUUUGGUUAUUAUGUUGUUGCGCCGAUUUAGCUCGGUUUUUCCAUGCUUGCAUGCUCCAUGAGUGUGUGUGACAAUUUGUUCCUACUUCCUGCAGGUAGCUGAUGGCGCCGCCGAUGCGCAGCGGCGCUCGACCCACAGGUAGUAGUCUGAAGCUGGGAGUGCAAUCUACUUCCAUCUUGGAGGAGAGGUAGACGAAGUGACGCUUGCGCAGCUCAACUUCUAGUACUGUUAUCUAUGGGCCGACCAGUCGCUGGGAAAAGGUUUUGGAUUAUUAGUCUAUUGUACGCGAGCUUUUUAAACUUUGCAUGUUCUUGUUGUUGCCGUGGUAGCGACGGUAAUAAUGCCUAUAGCGUCAUAUGGUGCAGAUGUACUGCUGCGCUUGAAAAGCCUUCAAUUAAAAUUACGCCUCUGUCUGUCUGUCUUGCUUCUGGUGUGACAUCAGGGUUCUUCUUCUGCCUUCCGGUUUCGAUGUCUGCAGUAGUAAGCACAUUGCUUACCGAUGGUUUGGUACCAACAUGGUGAGCUAACCAGUUUUGUGGAACUGCUGAUGUGCCCUAGGCCCUAGCCGACGGAUCGGUCCGAUUGGUGGUUCGGUCGGAUUCUUCGGUCGCGCUUUCCAGCCUAUGGUCAUCUGGCUCGUGAGAUCGGGAGGUUAUCUAUAGUGAGGCAGUUCGUUCCCUGAAGUUCUCAAUUCUGCAUAUAGGGCAUCCACUGAACUCCUUUCAAGUCAGCCGCUAUCCAUGUUGUCAGAUCUGCAUAUAGGAACAUCACAUGCAGUGAAAUCCUGGUUGUUGAAAAUCCUAUAAUUUCUCUCCCUGUGCUGGUUGGUGGCGGCGCUGCGAUGGCUCGGUCAAGAUGGAGUCUUGCGAGCAGCGAGCUUUCGGUCAUCCCUGUGCGGCGUGGAGAGCGGCGGUGCUUUCCUGGUGAUGCCGGCCUGGGAUUUCUCCGUGGAGAGGCGGGUCUGAUUGUCGCAAGGUCGUUCCUUGGAGUGGGUGACGGCCGUUGCGGGCAGUCCUGGACCUGGCCGGAGGUGCUGGUUGGCUGUGGACCCUCGUGCAAGCUGGGAGUGGAUGUGUGGCCGCGGUUUCCCUGCCGGGUGGUCGGUCGUUGGUCCUCGGCUAUGCAGCUACUUCGGCAAGUGCUGUGGUGGCGGCGGUGUGAGGCUUCUUGGCAGUGCUACCAAUCCCAUGGAGGCGUGGCGAUGGGCGAAGCGCGGAUGAAAAUUUUGCACGGCUUCUGCCGGGCCGGCGGUGAUGGCAUCUGUGGAUGUCAUUCCCCUCCUUGGAGGCAUCGUCGAGCGUGUUCGCCUCAUCCCUCGCGCUCUCGGUGUUGGUGGAUGUCUCCGGGUGAAAGCCUAGAUUCGAUGUUCUGAUUGGCACGAUGGCGGUGUCCUCGACGCCGCUCCUCUGUUGGGAGCAUUGUGUUUGGAGACACGGCUGGUUCCUCGUUGCUCUCCUCCGGUGUUCGCCGCUAUCCUUUUCUGAUCUUUAGUGGCGCUAUGUACGUUGGUCGUUGGUGAAUCCAAGGCGGCGUCUUCCCGGAUUGGAUCGAGUCCUGCCAUUCAUCUGCCACUUUCUCUUAGGCGCUCAGGGUGGAUGGUGCGUCGACAAGAGAAGUUCUGUGGAAGUGUGGUCUUCGGAGGUGUCCGGCGUCGAUCGAGACGCGGUGCUGUGUAUCAGUUUAGGAUAGGCUUUUUGCAUAGUAGCUUGCCUAGCGGUGGUGUUUGUUUGUGGUCUUGUCGGUGUGGUGUUCGUGCUACACUCGUUGUUCGUAUCGAGCGGUAGCUUUCUUAUAACUAAAUUCUGCCUUCUAUAAAGCUAUGGUACGCCUAGGCGUACU
This 80454-nucleotide long non-coding RNA is filed under the name Triticum aestivum (bread wheat). RNAcentral's name for it is "long non-coding RNA (TAES_LNC020347)". The stretch from base 6971 to 7109 matches the Rfam family "MIR1120/MIR1122 microRNA precursor family". The record is from RNAcentral. Lineage: Eukaryota; Viridiplantae; Streptophyta; Magnoliopsida; Poales; Poaceae.